Molecule: long non-coding RNA, 46578 nt
Filed under: Nicotiana tabacum (common tobacco)
Lineage: Eukaryota; Viridiplantae; Streptophyta; Magnoliopsida; Solanales; Solanaceae
Description: long non-coding RNA (NTAB_LNC000916)
Source: RNAcentral
UUAAUGACAAAGCUCGUGGCCACAUAUUAUUAAAAGUUUUUCUAAACCAAUACAACCAUUCAAUUGAAGCGAAGCAUCCAAUCCUAGUAGACCAAAUGAAACGAAAUGAUUAUAAGAAAUCAAACCCCAGUUGACCCAGUGUAUUAAUUCAAAUGAUUAUCAUCCAAGCAAAUGUAUGGUUUCUGGAAAUUUCAAUAUAGAGAUAGGAACAAAACUUAUUAAAAUUCAAUCCACUUUAAUCAUAGAAAUCCGCAUCGUCAUAAUCAAACCAACAAGGGAAAGCUAACUACUGCAGAUUAAUAAACAUAAUGAUGAAGUAUGCAAUGAUUUCACAUUCUAACUUGAAUAAAGACGAGCAACAAAUCACCGUACUUAAGGUUUUCACAUAUCCUUUUCAUACUAAAGUCAUAUCAAUAAUAGAAUAAUAGGGAAAUCGAUAAUGAACCUGGACUGAAAUUCUUCUUAGUAACAGUAGAGGAAUGAGCAUAUACAAUGUUUUGCUCCCAAAUUUAAACUGAGAACAAAGCAAUUGAGCAAAAACGCGAGCCAAACCACGAACCUCAGACGAAAACUCCAAUCGGCAUCAGAAUGAACUCAAUUAAACCCCGUCGAUCCCAUGGAAAAAAAGGGAGUGGCGAUGAGAGGGGACCAUUAUGGUGGUGGAAGAGCUCGACGAUAGUGAGGCGCGGCUGGGUUCUCUGAGGGGGUUGGUUUCCGGCGAAGCAACGGUUGCUGGUGUGGGCUCCGCUGGAGAUGAGGAAAGGGGGGUCGUUUGGAGAAGACGAAGUCAGGGGGUGGGGUCAUUUAUGGUUGCGGCGAAUCUGUUUUGUCUCUUAGGUCUUGGUGUAUUUUUUUUUUUGCUAUUUCAGCUUCUUCUUCUUCUUCUUUUUUCAGGCGUUAGGUGUUAGCCUAUAUAUGUAGGUCCUAGAGUCUAGGUUUAUAUUUUGUGUAUUUGCUCUUAGGUCUUUAGGGUCUUUUUAUUUAUUUAUUUAUUCCAAAGAAGAGUCUAGAAGGGUCCCUAGGAUUAGCUUAAUGGGUAUUGGGCUUAAGGAAUAGGCUAGACACUUGGGCCUUUAUGACUAGCUAUGCUUAGAAUUAGCUUAAUUAACUAAAAAUCUAUCCAUAUAGAAAUUUUAUCAAAAAUAUUAAUUAGCCCUACUUAAGUAAAAAUAAUUAUUAAAAUAAGACUGACUGUUAAAACAAAAUUAUUUAUUGGUAUUUUUCAAGAUUAAAAAUGACUAUAAAACAUUAAUGAACCUAUUUUUGUAAUUUUCGUUUUCUUGUAAUAAAAUAAAAGUAAAAGAGUAAAAUGAGUUGAAAUAACUAUAUUAGGCCUAAAUUAAAUAUUUACAUGCUAAAAUAUUUAAAAUCUUGAGGAGGGUCAAAAAUCACAUGUCUACAGCUGCCCCUCUUUGACUGGAAACACGAAGUAUUUUCAGACAAAGAACGACCAGACAGGUUUUUGGACCCGACCCUUAUUUGGAGAGACUAAAACUAAGAGAAAGGGGAAUUUGACCGAGCCCUUGUAUCUAAGCUGCCUACAUAUCCUUGGCUAUAAAAGAAUCAGGCCACAUGUAGUUCAGAAGUGAGUGAGAUGAUGGAGUAUGCCGAGGUGGAGAGCCAGUCGAGGUGCCGUUCCGCCGAGGUUCCGGUCCGCGGUCCUGAUGNNNNNNNNNNNNNNNNNNNNNNNNNNNNNNNNNNNNNNNNNNNNNNNNNNNNNNNNNNNNNNNNNNNNNNNNNNNNNNNNNNNNNNNNNNNNNNNNNNNNNNNNNNNNNNNNNNNNNNNNNNNNNNNNNNNNNNNNNNNNNNNNNNNNNNNNNNNNNNNNNNNNNNNNNNNNNNNNNNNNNNNNNNNNNNNNNNNNNNNNNNNNNNNNNNNNNNNNNNNNNNNNNNNNNNNNNNNNNNNNNNNNNNNNNNNNNNNNNNNNNNNNNNNNNNNNNNNNNNNNNNNNNNNNNNNNNNNNNNNNNNNNNNNNNNNNNNNNNNNNNNNNNNNNNNNNNNNNNNNNNNNNNNNNNNNNNNNNNNNNNNNNNNNNNNNNNNNNNNNNNNNNNNNNNNNNNNNNNNNNNNNNNNNNNNNNNNNNNNNNNNNNNNNNNNNNNNNNNNNNNNNNNNNNNNNNNNNNNNNNNNNNNNNNNNNNNNNNNNNNNNNNNNNNNNNNNNNNNNNNNNNNNNNNNNNNNNNNNNNNNNNNNNNNNNAGGGGGCUCCUGAUUGCCGAACUCCUUUGAACCUUGCUGCUUCCCUUCGUUCUCCAGGUGGGCUCCUGGUUGCUGUCUUCCUUUGAACAUUGUUGCUUCCCUUCGUUCUUCAGGUGGGCUCCUGAUUACCAACACUUGCGCUGUUUUUCCUUGAAACUUGAAUUGCCUCCCUUGAAACUUGAACUGCUUCUCUUUGUUCUCUAGGUAGGCUCCUGAUUUCCAACACUUGAACUGACCCCUCUGAAACUGCUACUUGUGAACCUGAUUACAAUAAAACAAACAAACAAAAGAAAUUUUUCUGCCCCAGUUUGAUAUCGGGAACAUCUGUGAGUGUUAAUCUAAUCAUAAUACCCAAAAGCUCUAAGAAUUUAAAAGCUAAAUCCCAUUAUCCAGGAGGGUCCUGAAAAUUAAAAAUUAAAUCUCAUCUCAAGAGUGACAACUUCAAAGCUAAAUUCUAUUUCCUAAAGGUAAAAUUUACGCUAAAUCUUAUUGUCUAUGAAGGUCUUAAAAACUUAAAACUAAAUCCCAUUAUCCGGGUCCUGAGAACUUUAAAUUAAAUCAUAUUAUCCAUGAGGGUCCUGAAAAUUUUAAAUUAAGUCCCAUUAUCCAGGAGGGUCCUGAAAAGCUGAGAAUGAACUUACCUAAGCCGCGCUCUUUUCCUGGAGGAUCUAUGUAGACCGAACAAAAUUCCUUUCCCCUAAACCACUCUUUUCCUCAUGGAGGGUUCAUGUAGAUCGAAUAAAUUUUUCUUUCCCCUUCUCAAACCGCCUUUGUGCUGACAAACUUUGGGCACGACACUUGAAAAAGUUCAAACUUCCAAGCUUUGAUUUGGACACAAUUUUCGUCCCUGUUUCAAACAAAGAGAACUUAUGAGUUUAUAAAUAUGGUGGUUGGUUUGUGGCCUUGAAUUUGAGGGUGAUUUCUCCUUCACUUCCCAUGAUAACUUUGAUUUCCACUCGAAAGAUCUUGCUUUUUUAUUGACUUACUACUUUCUCUGUCACCCUUAUCACGGAAAAUACCUCUAAUCUGUUCAAACCCAAUACCAUUCAUCUGUUGCAUUGUGCUCUUGCAUUGACAUGUACUGAACCUUUGUGUUUCACAUGAAUCCCAAAGCACAUCAAUUGCCAUCCACUCAGUGCACAUGUUGUUCUUUCCUGACUUAAAACACUGGCCUUGGCCUUGAGGUCUAUUGCUCCUUCAUUUGCCAUGAUAACUGAUUUCCGCUUGGAAGACCUUCCUUGUCCCUGGUUAACCACUUCUUUUGUCAAUCUUAUCAUAGAAAAUACCUUUUAUCCGUUCACCCUUCAUCCUCGAUCUAUUGCACUGAUCAUGAAUUGACAUAUACCAAACCUUUGUAUUUCACAUGAAUCCCAAAGCACAUUGAUUGUUGCCAACUCAAUGCGCAUGUUGUUCUUUCCUGACUUAUGCCACUUUGAUGUGUUAGCCAGAUCCUAUUUUGUGCAAUUGGAAAGCGGGUGGCAAAUUGUGAAGUCAUUUCUCACUUGUUCUGACCAAACAAACUUAGGAAGAGGAAGUAAACAAAACAAAAGGAACAGAGUAAAGGACAAUGGAAAGAGAUGAUUCCUAACAAACAAAACUACAAAGCAAAAACUUAUCAGAUGUGGACACCAACUCUAAUAACCAUGACAUGCACAUGUGGCCUAAUCUGUCAAGCAAGUCUGAUGUUCAACACUUGUUAUACCCCUAAACCGUGAAACUGGGCUUCAAUGCUCCGAUUAUCCAAUCUGAUUCACAAUCCUUAUUCGACUUGUAGUGCCCGAAGGGUUUUCACUAUCAAGCCUCUCUCAUUUUGUUCUUUUUCUCAACUCAUCAUCGCCUUAUAGUGCCUGGGAAGGUUUUCACCGAUAAGACUCUCAUUUUUUUUCUUCUUUCUUCUGAUUUUGUUGAUGACAAGGCGUUGACCAUAGUAAAAACAUCAUGUGCUCCUGGCAUGUCUAAACUCAGCACUCUCAAAGAUUAUUUGGGAGGUCUUUUUUGGACUAUGAUGUGGCUUUUGGAUAGGGUUAGAAAGAAAGGAUAUCAUAAAGGCUCAAAAUUACUAAAACAACAGGGUUAAUUUAUUUACAACUUUUGGAAUCCAUUCUAAAAACUUUGCCCAAUUUCUAAAACAAUGGAAUUUGAUUCUUUUUUAUUUUGUUUUUCUUUUUUGAUGGAGUUAUUAAUAAAGACCGCCCCACAUUCGACUUCGUCGGAUUAUGAAAUAUUUUAUUUGGUAUGACCGAACCGUUAGGCUGCCUACGUAUCUUGUGGUGACAAGAAUCAGGUCAAACGUAAUUCACAAAACUACUUUUUGUAACUAUUUGCCUUUCUUUUUUCUUUCUCUCUUUUUUUUUCUUUCUUUCUCUUUUUUUCUUUUUCCUUUUUUCUCCUUUAUCUCUAUUUUUCCCUUCUUUUUUGAAUUUUCCUUUCGGAAUGAACUUUCUAAAAUAAACCUAUGGGGACAUGAACUCUUUUUUUUCGUAUGACUCUAACUUGAUUCCAAAAGAGGGGAGGUCAAAGAAAUCAGUACAGGCUCAAAAGAGUAUCGAAUGGUAUAAGUGUUUGGGUAGCUGAAAGAGGGCCUCCUAAUCGCUGAAAAUGCCAAGUACAACACAUGCAACUUGAAACGGAAAUUGAAAAUCAUGCACAAUAUUUCUUUUGCAGCUUCGACAUUGAUAUCACUGAUAUUCCUUCGACUUUUAGUUAGCGCCUUUUCAAGUACAGAAUCCUCGUUGGGUGAUUCCCUCUUCACAAUGGAUAUCUUCCAUCAAUUUGGAGAGAAAUUCCUUGACUUUAUCUUGUAACUUGAGAUGCACUUGAACUCAAAGUUGCUUGCUUCAAAUCGUCCGGUAUGCACUCUCCCUUAACGAAUUCUUGUUACCCUAUUAACUUUCCAAAUUAACUGCCCCAGUUUCACACAGUUCGGGCUUCAAAUGAACUCAAAAUAUCCAAAUCUGUACUUAUUUCCCUCAAGUGUUCCCAUCAUCUUCAAAAUUAUUUUAUUGCUUCAUGAUUAAACUAACUUUUAAGACCAGGCCUAGAAUUAUGCGUGCAUGUCAUGUCACUAGAGCCAGCAUGAAAAGAACUAUAAAAGGAAAAAAACUAAACAAAAAUGAUUAACAUAAAACAGAAAAUUGCAUUAGAUAGACGGUGAAAGGGUUUGAACAACAAGAUAAGUAAAAUAAACUGGGGUACGACCCUGGAACAAACCUAGAUAACACGAAAUGAGUUACUACGACUAAAUGAACUCGGCAAAAUAAAAGGAUAGAAGGGUUUGAUAGUCACAAGACAAUAUCCGAAUUACAACCCUGAAAUAAACCGGACAACAGAAAUGACAAUAAAAUAAACCACCAAUACUCCUCCCUGGCUAACCAAGAAAGGAGCAUCUUUUCAAUCACCAAGCUCAACAUCUUAGCCAUUGAAUUUUGCAUCAACAAUACUAGGACCUUCACAAGUCUUCAUCACAUUGUUCUUAACAAAUUGCUUUUGGGUUCCCUUUUGCCGGCUCGUUGUUAAGAUCAACCUCUGAUAGCGCUGAAAGCUUUGCAGCGCAUGGACCUCCGAGGAUCUCAGAAGAAUUCUCAUAUUCCUUUUCAAAACAAACCAUACUCACCAUAUGCGUCUCAUUACGAACAGGCGAUGGACUUUGGCUAGUGUCUGUUGCAUCUGGAUUUUGCACGACAAUGUCACCUGCAUUAAUAAGCUUAUAAAUUGCAUUUUUUAGGUGCCAACACUUUUCUGUACUAUGACCCGGGGCAUCGGAGCAAUAUGCGCACCUUUGAGAAAAAUCAAACUUCUUUGGCAGAGGGUUUGGCAUUUUUAUCUGAAUCGGCUUCAACAUAUCCAAUUGCCUCAACCUUUGGAACAAACUGGCAUAUGAUUCUCUAAUAGGGGUGAAAGCCUUUUCUUUUUUCAACAGUCUUUUCAGUUUGUAUUCUGGCCUCGGUUGGAAACUUUUGCGGGUAGGUGGCUGAUAUGCUUGAGGAGGCGGGUAAGACAUUUGUGGAAGUGGUGCAGGCCAUCGCGGGCCUCAUGGGUGUGGAGCAUAUGGUGGUGCAUUGUGGAUAGGGUACUAGGAAAGUGAUGUACGACUUUGGGGGUUACGUGGAGAGAAGUAGCAUUGGGGAGGAUCAUCUGGUGCACAAGGAGAUCCAUGGGGUCGAUGUCGAGGCUGAACGCGUUGAGUAGGAAUGCCCAGUGGAUCAUCUUUUCUAUUUCUCUUUAUUCCACCCAAACUUACUGGGAUGUUCUGAAUGUCUUCCGUAGUAUCUUUCAAUGCCGAAUAACUCAUGAUUUUGCCUGACUUGAUUCCCUUUUCUACCAUAUUCCCCGUUUUUACCACAUCAUUGAAAGGUUUACCCAAGGUCGGAAUCAAAUGACUGAAGUAGGUGGGCCCCUAAGCUUGUAGGAAAAGCUCAACCAUUUCUUCUUCACCAAUCGAGAGACUGACUCGAGAAGAUUUCUCCUUCCAUCUGAGCCCAAACUCCCUAAAGCUUUUCUCCAGUUUCUUUUCCAUCUUAGAUAGGGAGGAGCGGUCUGGGGUAAUGUCUAAUUUGUAUUGAAACUGUCGAACAAAAUCUUGAGCCAUGUUGCCCAAUGUAUGCCACUUACCGACAUAUUGACGAUUAUGCCAUUCCAAAGCUGCCCCAGUCAAGCUCUCACUGAAAUACGCAAUCAACAAAUCAUCUUUCUCGUCAGCACUACUCAUUUCCCUGCAAUAAACCCUCAGAUGGGCUACCGGAUCUCCACGGCCCUCAUACAAAUUGAACUUUGGCACUUUAAACCCCGCAGGCAGAUGAACAUCAGGGAACAUAUAAAUCUGAUUUCUCAUCCCUUGCAUGCUCCUUAAGGACUAUUCCAUACCUUUCAGCUUCCUGGAUAUCUCAUCUCGCCCUUCUUUUCCUGUGACCUUUUCAUUUUCAGCAUGAGGCUCAUUCCGAGUGCUCUCCUUGUAUGAGCUAAGAACCUUGUGGGCAACCUCUGAGAGGUAAUAUUGGGCAUCAUGAGCUCUGAGUGGGUAUUCAUUGUUGGAUAUAGUGGAUAUGACAGGAGGGCAAUUUUGGGGAAAGGUAAUUGGAGGACGAGUGAUGGAGCUACUAGGGUGGUUGGGAAAGCUGUGAUAAGCAGAACAAUCUGGAGAGUAUGGGGAAUCAUCUGGCACUAUGACCAGAGUUUGGGUAAGGGUAGCAUCUAGGAAGGUAAGUGGUGGAGGGGGUGGUGCCUUCCUAGUCAUCCAAGCCUGAUACAUGUCCGCCAUGUGUUGUCUUAACAUCCUCACCUUUUCAACUAACCCAUUGUCCUAUUCAACCAAUUGCUUUUGGGCACCCGUAUCAACCAACUCAGUUCUGUUGUCAUCUGCCAUUGCCUUUCAACUUUAUGUUGUAGAGAAGAGUUACCACUUUAAGAACCACAAACCAACCACCUUUCUGCUAUAAUGAAGAUAACAAAAGGAACAAAAUGAAGUCAUCACGUUAGCGUUAGGGCAUUUAACAUAAGAUAAUCUCAUUUUAUGUGCAAUGCACCUAGCCACAGUUACCGGUUCUAAAAUGACUUCGAGGGUACGAAGGUCAGUUGGCAUCAUCCCAAUUUGUUCAUCUCAAUCCUCUCUUUUCUUUGCUUUUCUAGCACUUGCUUGCUCAUUUUCCUUCCUUUUUUUGCUAAUUAUCACUCUCUUCUUCCUCUCAUUUUUCACAUCCCAUCAUUUCACCCCUUUUUUUCUUUUUUUUCUCUUUUUUUUUCCUUUUGUUUUUUUUUUCGUAAAAAUAAAACAUUUUGAUCGAACCCUAUAUAGGUUGCCUACUAUCAUGACGCCGCAUGAAUCAGAUCUUUGCGUACUUUGAGAAGAUCGCGAAUAGACUAAAUAAACUAACAUUCUCUUUUUUCUUUCUUUCUCUUUUUUCUACCUUAAUGACCAAUCCGAAGAGAAAGAAAAAUAAAGGAAGAAAAACUUUUUUUUUCUAGACUUAAUCUUCUAUAACCUAUUCUAAACUCAAGAUUAACGGAUUUUUUUUUCUUUUGAAACAAAUACUCUAUUAAGGAAAAAUCCUAGAAGAGAAAAAUAUUUUUUGACUUUUUUUUGUGAAGGAAAUCUAAAAAAUAAGCCAAAGAAAAACUAUUUUUAAUUUUAGUUUGAUAUCUUGAAAGAAAGAUUUCGAACCAAGAAAUAAAAAAGAUGAAAAUGUUUUUGGAUUUCAGUUUGACUACAUAUGGGAGAAACUCUGAAAAUAAACUCAGGAUAAAGUAUGUUAUUUUUUUUCUUCUAUGUACAAUGUCCUAAAGUUCUAGUAAAAUUAAAAAAGAAUUAUUUUUCAUUUUUCGUGAAUUUCUCAAAGAAGAACAUCAAAAGAAAAUAUAUUUUUUUUUGGAUUUUUGGAAUUAAUAUCUUAAAGAAAACUUUUAAAGAGGUACUAAAACUUUUUUUUUUUUUGAAUUUUUAGUCUUAAUAUACGAAAGGAAAUAUAAAAGCAAUUUAUUUUGAGUUCUAGAAAUUAAUUCAAUAAAGGAAAACCACCUCAAAUGAUUUUUAUUAUUCCUAGAAUUAGUAUUAUAAAAAAAACUUCUACCAGAAAUAUAAAAAUGUAACUUUUUUUUUUGGAUUUUUGAUUUAUAACACAUUUUCCAAAUACAAAGUAGAAAGUACAAUAACAAAAGACUCGACAUUACUGUACAAAACUAGAAAGUAAAAGAUGAUAUAAAAUGAAGAACAUACUCAAUAACACUAUGUGAGACAAUAACACUUCCUGUUAGACACAUGCAAGACAUGAUUGUGGCUGUUUUUCUAAAAUUAAUCAGUGUGGCUAAAGUGGCUAAAAAUGCAAGAUUUGGCUAAGACCCCGCAAAGCGAAGAACCUAAGAUUCACUAGGAAGACCGGACACUAUGUGGAUUGCCUAAGAAUUAGGUAUGCGUAGUUCGGGCAAAUUAGAUACGGGCAAGAAUUAAAAAACUAACUAAUUUAGAGAAAACAUAUUUUGCUUUGAAAAAUGAUGAAACAUAUAAACUCUUUUUGGAUUUUCUUUUCCUCUUUUUUUUGAUUUUUUGAUUUUCGAAAAAUGAUGAAAAAGUGCAAAAUCUUUUUGAAUUUUUCAUGUUUUUUUUUCCUUUUCUUUUAAAAAAUGUGAAAGAGAACAUAACUGGGCCCUACUUGCCUUAUUUUCAAACUUCACCCUCUCUUUUUUUUUCAUCUGCCCUCAACUAUCAUUGGUCCGCCAAAUGACCCUUUUACCCUUGAAGAAAUGCAACAUGUAGCACAUAUGAUGCAUCAGGAUGGUCUUUUAUUUUGGGGUACACUUGUCCUAGACGGACCCAACCUCUGUGUUGAGUCCCCAAAGUCAAAUGCAUAUGAUACAAACAAUAGUUCCUACUAGGGAUCUGGCAUGAGGCUGAGUUAUUCUGAGUUCAAAACCUGGGUAUGUUGUUCUAGAUUUGUGUACCCGAGCGGCCACAUCGAGCCGGGGGGGCUACGUACCGGGAACCAAAAUGCCAUCUGGCUUUGUAACUUGUCCGAGCCUCUUCCUAAUUUAAGGUAUGACACUAACAUAAGAGGAGUCACGCCAGUGUGCACAUCCCCGAAGAUGAGAAGAGAAGGGUUUCGUAGCAGUUUAUAUACAGUUCAGAUAAUAUAAAAGCGGUAAAAGCAACAUUUAGCACAUUAGGCCCAAACAUGUAAUUAAAACCAGAUAAUAAAUAAAAGCCAAAUAUAACAAUUAUUCUAAGCUCGAAUUCUUGAACCCUGAACUAGAGAUUAUGGGUUCUUGUCCCCAGCAGAGUCUCCAGAGAUGUCACACAUCCUUUUUCUACCACCGAAGGGGUAUAUAAGGGAGUUUGUCCAAUUUAAGUGACAAUCGAAACAGGAUUAUUUAUUUAGAAAUCAGAGUCACCAAUUGGGAUAAUUUAUGGUGUUCGAUGUCACCGGUUUAAAUCCCGAAUCGAGGAAAAGAUUGACUCUGUUUUACAGUCCGCAAACACAGAAAUUCGGGUAAGGAAUUCUGUUAACCCAGGAGAAGGUGUUAGGCAUUCGCGAGUUCCGUGGUUCUAGCACGGUCGCUCAACUGUUAUUAUUGGUCUAAUAAUCUGAUUUUAAAACACUUUUAAGCAUAUGUGUAUUUUUUAACUUUCUAACCGCUUUUAGUAUUUCAGGAAAAUUCAAGGUUAUUUAAAACACAUCGUAGGCCACUCUACAUGAAAUGCACCCGCGGUUCACGACACAUUCUAUUUAACCUUGUUGGAAAUUGGAAUCGGGUCACAUGAAAUGCACACUCAAAUUUUGUAAUUAAAAAUCACAGCUAUAUCAUGGGAACCAUACCCGUUGCUAUGACAAUUAUUUAAUUAACGCGCCUAAAGCAAACUACGAAAGUUCAAGGCAUUUUUUGUACUAGUUUUUGUAUUUAUGUGAGGGCCAUACAUUAUGGAUUUUGUUUGCAUAUGCACACCUCAAUUAUUUGUAAAAAAAAGAAUUAUUUCACUAAGGUAAACUAAAGAUACUCCUAUUUUAAUUUAAUUUAAAAUUAAAUAUCACCACCACGUCACGAGAAAUGUACCCGUAGUCACAAUGAUGAUUUAUUUUCAUGCCUAAAGGUUUGCCUACCCGGAUGUUGUGGCCUAAGUAUGUUCUUAGGACCAAUUAAGAGAAUAAAAGUAAUAAAUUUCAACUUUUUUUCAUUUAAUAACAAAGCUCGUGGCCACAUAUUAUUAAAAGUUUUUCUAAACCAAUACAACCCAUUCAAUUGAAGCGAAGCAUCCAAUCCUAGUAUACCAAACGAAAUGAAAUGAUUAUAAGAAAUCAAACCCCAGUUGACCCAGUGUAUUAAUUCAAAUGAAUUUCAUCCAAGCAAAUGUAUGGUUUCUGGAAAUUUCAACAGAGAGAUAGGAACAAAACUUAUUAAAAUUCAAUCCACUUUAAUCAUAGAAAUCCGCAUCGCCAUAAUCAAACCAACAAGGGAAAGCUAACUACUGUAGAUUAAUACACAUAAUGAUGAAGUAUGCAUUGAUUUCACAUUCUAACUUGAAUAAAGACGAGCAACAAAUCAUCGUGCUUAAGGUUUUCACAUAUCCUUUUCAUGCUAAAAUCAUAUCAAAAAUAGAAUAAUAGGGAAUCGACAAUGAACCUGGACUGAAAUUCUUCUUAGUAACAGUAGAGGAAUGAGCAUAUACAAUGUUUUUCUCCCAAAUUUAAACUGAGAACAACACAAUCAAGCAGAAACGCGAGCCACACCACGAACCUCAGACAAAAACUCGAAUCGGCAUCAAAACAAACUCAAUCGAACCCCGUCGAUUCCAUGGAAGAAAAGGGAGUGGCGAUGAGAGGGGGGCUGCUAUGGUGGUGGAAGAGCUCGACGACAGUGAGGCGCGACUGGGUUCUCUGAGGGGAUUGGUUUCCGACGAAGCAACGAUUGCUGGUGUGGGCUCCGCUGGAGAUGAGGAAAGGGGGGUCGUUUGGAGAAGACGAAGUCAGGGCGUGGGGUCAUUUAUGGCUGCGGCGGAUCUGUUUUUUCUCUUAGGUCUAGGUGUAUUUUUUUGCUAUUUCAGCUUUUUUUUACAGGCGUUAGGUGUUAGCCUAUAUAUGUAGGUCCUAGAGUCUAGGUUUAUAUUUUGUGUAUUUUCUUUUAGGUCCUUAGGGUCUUUUUAUUUAUUUUUGUACAAAAGAAGAGUCUAGAAGGGUCCCUAGGAUUAGCUUAAUGAGUAUUGGGUAUUGGGCUUAAGGAAUGGGCUAGAAACUUGGGCCUUUAUGACUAGAUAUGCUUAAAAUUAGCUUAAUUAACUAAAAAUCUAUCCAUAUAUAAAUAUUAUUAAAAAUAUUAAUUAUCCCUACUUAAGUAAAAAUAAUUAUUAAAAUAAGACUGACUGUUAUAACAAAAUUAUUUUUUGGUAUUUUUUCAAGAUUAAAAAUGACUACAAAACAUUAAUGAACCUAUUUUUGUAAUUUUCGUUUUCUUGUAAUAAAAGUAAAAGUAAAAGAGUACAAUGAGUUGAAAUAGCUAUAUUAGGCCUAAAUUAAAUAUUUACAUGCUAAAAUAUGUAAAAUCUUGGGGCGGGUCAAAAAUCACGUGUCUACAAAGCUGACGAUUUCUUUGAACAUUAUUUAAACCAAUUCUUGUGGAGACAAUUUAAUAACUAUACUAUCUUUGACUAGCAAGCCUAAGUUUUAUACACCGGUUUUGCGCUCGUUGAAUUUUGGCGCCGUGGAUUGGCGAUUAAUAGUGUUUAAAAUAGUUUUCGGUACUAAUUCAAGAAUCUUUUUUUUAAGUUCUUAUCUAUGUGCAGGAGAGCACUAUGGAGGAAAUAGGACAACAUUGAAGGUCAUGGAAGCCGAUUUUUACUGGCCAUCCUUGUACAAGGAAGCAAGAUCCUACGUGGCUACAUGUGACAAGUGCCAACGGACAGAUAACAUUAGUAAGAGGACGAGAUGCCCCUGAAUUCCAUUUUAGUAUGUGAAGUCUUCGAUGUCUGAGGCAUCAACUUUAUAGGUCCUUUCCCAUCGUCCCAUUCUUAUGAGUAUAUCCUAAUAGCCGUUGACUACGUUUCUAAGUGGGUCGAGGAAAUCCUUACUAGGACAAAUGAUGCUCGGGUAGUAUGUGAAUUUAUUCAUAAGAAUAUUUUCACCCAUUUUGGAACUCCCCAAGUCAUCAUCAGUGACAAUGGGUCACAUUUUGUUAAUAAAUAGUUUGCCUCACUGUUGUCUAAAUAUGGGGUGACUCAUAAAAUAAGAACUCCAUAUCAUGCUCAAACUAGUGGGCAAGUAGAAGUAGAUAACCGUGAACUCAAAAUAAUUCUAGAAAACACGGUCAGUGCUUCCAGAAAGGAUUGAUCAGUAAGGUUAGAUGAAGCUCCAUGGGCGUAUCAAACAUCGUUUAAGAUAACCAUAGGAACUUCACCUUUCAAGCUGGUACAUGAAAAGUCAUGUCACUUACUUGUGGAGAUAGAGAAUAAGGCUUAUUGGGCAAUUAAAUUGCUUAAUCUUGAUCUUAGUCUUGCAGGUGAGCACAGAAUGUCACAAAUGAAUGAGCUGGAGGAAUUCACAUUGGACGUGUAUGAGAAUGCACGAAUGUUCAAGGAAAAGACGAAGAAAUGGCAUGACCGUCUGAUUAAACCAAAAGAAUUUUAUGAAAGGGAAAAGGUCUUGAUAUACAAUAGUAGGCUCAUAUUGCUUCUCAAAAAAUUUAAGUCAAGAUGGAUGGCACCAUAUGUGGUGAAACAUGUAUCACCAUAUGGGGCGAUUGAGAUCCAAAACAUGGAAGGAACGGAGAGUUUCAAGGUGAAUAGGCACAGGUUAAAACCAUAUCUUGCUGGAGGAUUUGUUAACCAAUCCUAGAGCAUCAUAAUCAGUUAAAGGUCCCCACUCAACUGGAGACUAUAACUCAAAACUACCUCUAAUCUUUCUAAUAGUUUGAUUUUUCUUUUGUAGCUUAGGAUAGGCAAAAAUUUGGUGUACAGUGUGAGUUGGUGGUUAUGUUUGCGCAUAAAGCAGUAUCAACAAGUCCGAGUAUGCAUGGCCGCGCAUGUGAGGGUUUGACCGUGCAUAUAGUCGUGUAUAUGUUACAGAAACACUGGUAGUCAUCGAAGGCAACACAUGUUUUGACCCGACCGCGCACCGACUGUGCACCAGGUAAGCUCCCUAACCUCUUUUAUUUUAACCUGAAUUUUAGACCUGCACCCCUUUUUUCUCUUCUCUUCUUUUGCCCUUUUCUCUAUUCUCUCACCAAACCCAACCCUAAUCCGUUUCAAUCCACCCUCUCUCUCACACCUACACCAUACACACCAUCCCCCUCCCUCACUGUCUCUCCCUCGCCUCCUCUAAUCUAACCAACCAGUGUGUCAUCAUCACUUGAACCCUCGGGUAUGUAACUUCUUCCAUCUUUUUCAUUAUUUUAUUUUCUUUUUACGGUUCAAAGAAUGGUUUUCACCGCGGAUGAUGAACUUUAUGGCUGCUAUGUAUAUGAAUUAUUAUGUAUAUAGUCCAUCUACAGCUAAAAAUUAUUUUGUGUGGAAUAGCAGCAACUUUGUAUGUAAGGUGUUUGUUUAAAUGCCACAAUGAGAUUUUACGGUGUGUUUUCGAAAUUGUUGGCCACCUGAUGGUAAUCUAUAUAAUUUAAUUAGGUGAACUAGUAAUGGUGGCAUAUUUUAAUAUUGUGGAAUGGAUCCUUAUCAUGGCAAGGAGCAGUGUAUAUUUUAUCACUAUACGGAUGAAGCCUUAGUAACCCUUUUGGUUCGAAGAGUGGUAUAAUUUUUUAUAAUUGUUGGGUUGUUUUAGGUGCAAAAUGGCCACUUCAAAGAAAAGAAAAACCCCAAGCACAUCCACUAGUUGGCAACCGGGCACGUCCAAAUCUAAAGAUGUGGGCACUUCAAGGUCUUGUGCUUCCGCAUCCACUCACUCAUAUGAUCAAAAUAGGUUUGUCUCUUGGGAGGCCCAAGACUGGUUCCAUAGCAAGUCAAAAAAAAAGCCAAUACCUGAAAGCGGAAUAGAUAUCGGUUCUCUCCUCAAUGAGUGUUCCAGGGUUCAUGAUAAAUUAGUCCGGCGAGGAUUGGGAGCAUUCUUCAAAGAACAUGACGAGGCCAAUUUGACUGUUGUUAGGGAGUUAUAUGUGAAUUUCCCAGAACAUGAGGACUAUGUGUGUACAGUCAGAAAGAAAAAGGUGGACUUUUCUAAGGAAGCUAUCCAAAAGGCCUACCACUUACUAGAGUAUGUGGACCAAAUUGGUGAAACCAAUCACUUAGUGGAGAAUAACAAGCAACUUUACGUGUGGGCUAUGUUCUUUUAGACCAUCUAUGUGCCCGGGAAGGAGGUGGUGUGGUUAAUCAGGGACCACGAAUUUCACUUUGCUACACUAACUUUUGAAGGAAAGUGUUGGCUAUACAUCAUCAAUAAUCGCUUGAUGCCUUCCGGCAACACAAUUAAGGUGAAUGGUCCUCGGGCUGCUCUGAUUUGGUGCUUUGUAAAUGGACAAAACUUUGAUGUGGAUAAGGUCAUUCAAGAUGAGAUGACAAUUCGUUGUCCAGUGCAGAGGUAUGGGUUUUUUUCCAUCGUUAGUCACACGGUUGUGCCGUGAGGCACGAGUACCAAAAACAAGGCUACUGACGGAAAGGUAAAGAGAGAGGAAAUUUUCGUAUGAUUAUAUUAUCAUUGGGAGGGAACUUGUUGUGGCUGCUGAAGUUAAGAGUGAGGAGUUAGAUGCACCUGUAGAAGAAAGAGAGGUGCACGGGGAGGAUGUUGGUGCUAGUACCCCGCAUGAGCAAAUUGUCGGAGAAUCAUCAAGCAGUGUGUGGGAAACAAGAAUGAUUGCUUUGGAAUAAAAGAUGGUGGAGAUGUGCACUUCUGUUGAAGAUUUGGGUACUCGAGUAGAGUCACUUUCUAGGAAAAAUGCCAAGUCAGAGCGGAAGAUCAUGGCAUGGUUGUGCACGCUCGACCGGGCUUGUCACCUGGAUCCCGACACUAUCUCUAACACAGAUUGACCUAGUCAAGAAAGUUUCCUUUACCUUUGCAUUUUAAUUUUGUGACAUGAGGACAUGCCACUAGUUAAGUGUGGUGGUGGGGGUAUUGUAAAUAGCGUUGUUUAAAUUUCUUUCCUACAAAAAAGAAGCCCAAAAAUAUUUUCUUAUUUUUUUUAGGAUAACUUCUUCACUUGUACUUCCAUGGGUUUCUUGUUUGGUUCUUUAUAUGGUCUUAAUAUUUUGAACCAAACAAUUUCUAGAGUAGAUUUUUUUUUCUCUUUGAGAUUAGUUUUGAAAAGUUGUUGGUGGUUUGCAAAAAUUAACUGUUCCUAACUUAUGGGAUGCAUGAUCCUGUCCUUGUGAGUCAGAGAGACCAUUGGUGACUACGGUCUGAAUUGUGUGCCUAUCCAAAAUGCUAUGUGUGGUGAGGUGAAUAUUUGCUAGGUAAUCAUGACUCACAUGAUCUAGAACUUGGCUUGGUUGUGACUCAAGGCAAAAUCAUGGGUAAUAGUUGAGUUUGGAGAUGACUAUAGGCCUUCUUUGAUAGCCCUUCUUCUAUUGUUUUGAAACCUCCUAAGAACUGAUAAAGUUAUCCCUAGUUAGCCCAGUUGAGCCUAAUUCCCUCUUUCUUUGGCAACCACAUUACAACCUAAACCCGUAGCCGUCCCUAAGCACUUGAAUACCUUGUGUGUGAUUCUAAAAGAUAAAAAGACAUAAGUGUGGAGCUGGGGAUUGGUUUUGAGUAGAACUAAUGAGAAGUAGAAAAAGGUGCACCAUCAUGAAUGUAUGUGAGGUACGUGAGUAAGGGAUUGUGAAAAGAAUGAAAAAAAAAGAAAAAAAAAGAGAAAAAGAUAUGCUUUUGCUAAGUAAAGAAAUAAGAGUGAACAUUCCCCUGCUGAUGUAAAGUCCUUGUAUGUUGUGCUUAAAGAAAUGAGAACUCGGUGCUUUUCUGAAUUGGAGAUUUGGAGGCAAUUGUCACUGUAAAAAGUGUAGGUCAUGUAUAAAGUUGUAGGUAUUAAAAUUCUUAGGGAGGUGAAUAUACUAUUAUACAGAUUAUAUCCAACUCAUCCCAUAACCUACGUUACAACGAAAUGCAAAGUCCUACAAGAUUUAGACGAGAUUGUUCCUAUAUUAGUGGAGAGUUACACGAUAGCCAAGAUUGUGGUACUCUUGAAAGCAUGAUUCACUUCUUUGUGAGGGCGAGUGAGUGUUGUUUUAUAGCCCUAUGCUAUUGUUUGCAAUUGGUGUGUGAAUGAGCAUUGUCUCUUUAUUGUGAGGUGUAUUGAGGAUUUGGCGCCGAUUUGACCACGACACUAGUGGGAUAUCAUGACCGAAAUUAAGGUUGAAUGUGACCACAUGAUGGUAUCUAGUUCAUUCUGGCCGGCCACUUGUUUAAGGAGGUUGUAGGGUUAGGAGCAAUUUAGUUUUAGAUUUUCUCUGGACGAGCAAAAGCUAAGUGUGGGGUUGUUUGAUGAGCUUAAAAUUACUCGACAUUUAGGCCUUCUUUGUGUCCUUGAUUUGGUUAUUUUGAUAGAGAAUUAGUUUGAUUAUGGUCUAAUAUGUUGCCUUUCAGUGCAGGUGGUGCAGAGGGGAUAAAUGGACAGAUAGUGCACGAAGUGUGAGGAAAAACAAGCUGAAAGAGGAGAAAAUUCUCAUGCGCGGCCGUGAUCUCAUCCAAGUCACACCUCUAUUUAAGGUUAUGAAACAGUCGAUGCAAUAGUAUACCCAACAAGGAGCCGGGGUCGAUUUUUUCACAAGGAGUCGGGUUUUACUACCUCUAGGUUCAACCCUUUAAUUGGGCUUAUCAAUCUCUCGAUUGACCCAAUAUCUUGUUAGCCAAGUUUUCCUGGACUAAGUCUCUCUUUCUCAAGUAGAAACUAAGUCAAAUAGACAUGAACUAAUGUUUGCAACCAUUAAUUCUGCAAUUAAAAGCAAGAACAAGACUAAAUAAUAAACUCCCAACUAUAAACAAGAAAUAAAUCAAACACCAAUUAAGAUUACACUCUAAAAUUGGGUCACAACCCUAGGAAAGAAAUCUAGCUACUCAUACUUAAGAUAGAAGAAAUAGAAGAAGAAAUGAUAAUUAAACCCAUAUUGAUAAUUAAAAUGAUGAAAUCUAUGUUCGAAAAGCUCAAAAUAGCAAAAACUACUAAAGAGAGUUAAGAAAACCAUCUACUGUAGCAGCUGAUGUCCAAAACUUGAUCUAAAAAAGUGAAACUCUUCUAUUUAUACAGGGCUGACAUUUUCGGACAAAAAUACCCUUUCAGAGGUUCUGCGGCCGUACAAUUCCAUGUGCGGUCCGCACUUUGCUUCAGCCUGACAGGAUUGGAAAUCUACGAGCACAUAAUUCUGAACUACGGCUGCACUUCUUUCUUUCUGCGGUCCGCACAAAUGUGUAUGUGGCCACACCUUGCUCUUCUAUGGUCCGCACAAAUGAGAUGGCGGCCGCGUAGCUGUUCUUCUGCGGCCGCACAAUAUUUGUGUGGCAUGUACUUUUGUUGAACUUGAGAUAUAGGUUCUCUGAACCUUUUUUGUUACACAGUUUCUGUUGCCGCACUUUUCAUAUACGGACUGCACUUUUCAUACUUCUCUGAUGGGGCAUUUCUUCACAUCCUACGGUCGCAGAUGAUAAUCUGUCGUCCACACUUCUGAGCUUCUUAGCCUGCUUUUGUCCUUGAGUUCAGAUCACUCCUUCUUGAGUUGGAUUUCAUUUUGGGAGCUCAUCUUCCAAUAUUCCUGCAAUUAAGCACAUUUCAUUAGUUUACAGGACACAAUUAAGCGCUUUUGGACUAAAAUGAAAGUAAAAAGGCGCUAAUAAGUAGUCAAAAGCCCCACUUAUCAACUCCCCCAAACUUAAGUUUUUGCUUGUACUCAAACAAAUAAGGUAACUCCCACCUCCACAAGUUAAGAGCUAUUCCAGCUAAUCAAAGAUGCAUCAAUCACACAUCAAUUGGGACCAACAAUUACCCACAACACUUAUAAAUUAUCAACAAGGCAAUAGGUUGAACUUUUAAGCACAAAUAGUUCUAAUAUGAUACUUGGGCAUCAAAAGUUGACUUUAUUCAUCAAGGAAGCUCGUUCUUUCAUUUAGGUCAUUAUGGAUCCCAAACUCCUCUUCCUCUACUCUCCAUUUGCAUAUCUCACGUAAGAAUAUAGCACUCAAUUCAGAGAUUUGUGAUAGGUUCGCUCAUCUCUCUUAAAAAAUAUAUUGCAAGUACGACCCUAAGUACCAUAUGCUUGCCCCUCAUGUAAAUAACCACUAAUGUAAGCUCACUUGGCUUAAAAUCACGUAGGGCUUUUUCGGAACUCAAAGAAGGCUUUUGGACUAAGGUUGGAUAUGCUAUGAUAGAACAGAUUCAUCUUUCCUUAAGCACUCCAUUUUCUCUUAUCGGCUCAUGUUUUGCCAACUCUUUGAGGCAUUUUCUUUUUCUUAGGGGAAUUAGAGAGACCUACGUCACUCUUUCUUGGUCAUGAUAUUCAUUUUCUCCUUCUUUGCUUUCUCCAUGCUUUGCAUCAUUACUUUCCUUUGAAUUCCUUCAACUCUUCAACUUAUUCACUUUCGUUUUGCAUUUUUCUUUUUGUUUUUUCUUUCUUUUCCUUGCCUUUCCUUCUCUUCAUUUCUUUUCUCUUCUUUGUGCCUUGAUACCCUUUUCAAACUCUUCGCCUCUCUCCCAAACUUAUGUUUUUAUCCAAUUGUUACACAAGAGUGUUAAGGAAAACUCGGGUGCCAAGAGAGGGUCAUGACAAAACGGGUAAAGGCUUGUAACAUGGUUAUCAAAUGAGAAAGGUUUUAGGCUCAAAUGGGUUGACUAGGGAUAAAAUAUUGGUGGGCUAUGGAAAACAAGCGGGUCAAGGAGAGCAUACAAUCACUUCUCAAGCCAAGAAGAACUUGAAAUUUUACCUUGAAACACUUUCGGGGCAAGUUCUAGACCAUUCGCACGGAUACUUUGACUUGCAACAGAAAUAUCUUACUUCUCACGUAGCUAGAUUGUUAAAGAGGAUAGAGUCGAGGGCCCACAAAGACUAGAAUCAAUAUUGAAAAUCAUUACGAUUUGACUAAACCGCUCGAUGAUUGCUUAAGUCAACACAAGAGUCAAAAUAUUACUAACUAGAGUUAUUUCUUUCCAAAAGCUUAUUUUUAACCAUAAGCAUAUAGUUAAGUGUGUUGGUACCGAGUGAAGAAUGUUUGACUCUUCGAGCCUGACUCAAUUAGGUAUUUUUAUUCAUUAUUACUACUAUUCUUACCUAAAUACGAAAAAUGGACUCAAUCCCUUAAGAAAGUUGUCACGCCAUCCAUCGUUGGGAAGAGUUACCCGGUUCACACAAAAACUACCUUUGGAAAGAACCAUGGUAUUAAGAAAACCAAAGGCUUAUUGUCCACUCAAACAUAAAGAGAAGCUACUAAAUUAAAUAGAAGCUACUAAAUUAAAUAUUGACUAAUAAGAAAAUAGAAUAAAGAAGCUACAAAGCAAACUACUGAAAGCAUAAUGAAUAUACAUAAUGAGAGAGGAAAAGAGAGAAUAUAUAUACAUCAGCGAGAGAGGGAGAAAGGAGAGAAUAUAUACAUGAUAAAGAGAAAGAAGAAAAUUAUUGUCAGUCAUUACAAAUCAAAUGUCUAGAAAUCAUCAAAAUAACAAAUAAACUCCACCCCUCCCCCCCUCCCCCGAAUAAAAAUAAGCGUUGUCCCCAAUGCUUAACAAAAAAAAAUAAAGAAGGGUAAGAGUGAAGAGGACUCCCUAUGUGGCCUUGAACAACUCCGUGUCUAUAGCAGCAUCACCGCCCUCAGUCUCCUCUAACUAGAUCUCAUUAUCCUCGGCUCUGGGAGUAACUGGUUUGGUGAACAUUUGGCUCACCACCUCAGCAGCAUCGGCAGCCAAGUCUGGCUCCUCAGAUUGACCAGCUGGUGCCACUGAAACUAAUGGUGUUUUGGGAUCUACUGGUGAUGGUGGAUCUGUCUCCAUCAGUAUAUCAAAUGGGAGAUCACCAGCUGUUGCUAUCAUGGUCACCUCUCUCCUCAGCCUGUCAACUAAUUUCUUGGACGCUUGGGAUUUCUUCAUUUUCUUUACCUGCUUCUCCAGCUCCUCAAUCAUUACUCCAUGUGUACCAAGGUAUUCAUGAUGGUGGUCUAGUUCUCCAAGAUCUUCUUCAAUGUUCCUCUACUGUUAGAGUAAUCUGGGGUGCCAGAGUGGAUGAUUGUGGCUGCAACAAUACUGGAUAUGUCAGACUAUUUUGUAGUGGUUGUCUGCAUCCAGUUGUUGAGGCCCGCCAGUGUCUGGGAGACUCGCAAUGUAGAUAACGGUUGAUUGGGCACAGGUAUCGGCUUCAAGGCCAAGGUGGAAGGUUGAUGCUGAAGGUGGAGGCAUUGCAGCUGCACUAACAGAAGGCACUGCUGAAGUGGAAGGCAUAUAUGCUGACUUUGCAGCUACCACCGAAGGCGCAUCAGACUGGCCUAUGGUAGUAGUCGGCUGACCCUUUUUCUUCAGGUUCUUUAGGUCCAUCAGAGAAUACCAAGAGAAAGGCUUAUUUGCCCGAACCUUUGUGUCAAAAUCCUUGUUUUCUACCCGUGCAUUUGUAAGGUACUCCGUGAUAGUAUUGGGAUAAGGGUAGGAGGUGUCACCUUGCCUGGCGACCACAAACAUAUUGGCCGACAUCAAGGCACACACAUUGAUUAGGUACCCGACCAUGAUAUAUGCAACUAGCAUUGCCCGCAAAAUUGGAAAAUUGGUUUCAUUUUGGCACAGGUCUAGUCUGUUACACACAAAUGUAUGUCAUCCCUUUACCUCAACAUUCAGGGUGUUCCGCUGAAUAAGAACCCUUGUAGUGAUCUAUGGUAGUGGUGGACCCGGGGCCGCAAGAAUCUCAGUUAGCCAUAGGCGAGCUGCGUCUCCCAGUGCUAACGUUUCCCGAUAUUGCACAGGCUCCACAUCCUCAAACCCGAAAUACGUGUUUAGGGUGUUCUGAUCGAACCUCACCUUUAGAUUUCUCACUUUUGUUACCUUGGUCCCUUUCUUUAUAUGCACCACAUUAGCAUAAAAUUCCCAGAUCAGGUAGUCCUUAGCAUCUACCAUACUCUAGCUGAACCACAUCCACCCCUUCCGCUCCCGGAACUGUCUCAACACUGCUUGGUUGUAUUUACCUAGGUCUUUCAACAUGAACUGAAGCUCAAGAGUGAGCAAUCUCACCUGCCACCAAUCUUGAAACUUGUGAAGGCAUCUAGACUAAUAAACCUAUCUUCCCACAUCUCUUUAUUCUUCGACCUCUCAAGGCCAACAACUCUGGUAUCACCCCCUCGGCCAUAUCAUCACAUCCACUGUAGUAGCUGGUGUGUUGGGGGCAUGUGUAGAUGAGGGCUCUGAAGCCUGACUGUCACCUUCCAAACCCUUGGAAGUGCUCUCAGAAGUGGAAGGCUCGCCUUGGAGUUGAUAUCUUCCCUGAAGCUGUUGUGACUAUGAUUGAACAACAAGCUGCUCUUGCACUAAUUUGCCCACCGAUGUUUCCCUAUAUGGGACAUAAGAGCUUGAUUCGGCUAGUUCUGCAGGUCUACCUCAAUCAGCGGUCGCCUUUUUGGAUAUAGCUCUUUGAAGGGCGAGGGGUAAGGCACUCUUGCCUCGGCCUCUGGAAGGUUCACCUUUCCCCUUUGAUGUAUCGCCACGACCUCGUGAUCUAACCAUUUUCUGUAACAAACAGUAGUAUGAGUUAGUUCUAGUUCAAGUGCAGAAAAACAGACAUUCACAGAACAAAACAUGUUGCAGGGUGGGGAAGUGCGGACCGCACAAAUGCAAGUGUGGCCACAGACUAGGUUGUGCGGACCGCACUUGAAAGUGCGACCGCAGAGAUGAAACUACGGUCCGCACAAUCUUAAGUACGAGCACAGAAUUGAAGUGCGGUCCGCACAUUUUUGAGUGCAGCUACACAUUAGACUUUUCAAAAGUUCCCACUCUCUGAUGACUGAGAUUUGCCUGAUCUGCACCCGCUCACACUUUUUUGUGGCCGAGAUGGAAUUUUUGUAGUCCGCAAAAUUUCAAGUGCGACCGUAUAAUUGACUUGACCAAAGACCCUAGAUUGCAUCUUCUGCAUACCGCACAAUUGCUUGUGCGGCCGCAGAUUUCAAAAUCAAAACAAGCAGACUUUUAGGGUUUUCAAGUUUUUGCACAGAUUCAACAUGGUAUUAAAAAUUAAGCAGGAAAAUGAAUUCACCCAGUCCCAUAAAGAAAUUAGGAGUUGACCUAUUACAGAUUAACCCCUACAUGGUAUUAGAAUUGAAAUCUAUUGACAAAUGGCCUAAAACUACCUAAAAAAUUGUAAAUUAAACUAAGAAAAUUUAAAAAUUGCAUGAGAAAUUGAGCAUACCAGCUAUGAAGGAGUGCAACUAAAUGAUCACAGGUGUAGAUGGAGUGUGGCACAUGAUCGAACAGAUGAUUUCAAAGUGUUAGAGUUUAGAGUGCUCAGAGAGGGAAAACCUUGUACAGUAGCCCAAGGAUACUAUUUAUACUAGCAGGCAAACUUUGGGAAACAAAGGAGGAGUGCGGCAGCAAAAUUCCUUCUGCAGUCCGCACUCUGUUACCUGAAGGCUCAGUAGCCUUGCUGAUCUGCGGUACACACAAUUUGUAGUGCGACCGCAGAAUUUGGCUACAGACCAUAUAAUUUGGUGUGCGGCCGCAGAAUGGCUAAUUCUCUAACAAACCAAAAUUCAGAGAGUUUGCAUUUUCCCCAUCCAAUUUGUGUGGUCCGCACUACAGUUGCCUUCUGCUGUAGCAUUCAAAAUUAUGACGUUCGCAUAAUACAUGUGCGGUCCGCACUUUUUUUAUACUUCGCCAAUUUUUCUGAGCAUAGUUCCUGUAAAGCACACUCAUUCCUGCAACACACAUCAAAUCCAGUUAGCAUAAAAUAAGACCUAUCUAAAGAAGAAGAAAAGAAAAAGAAACAUGGGUUCCCUCCAAAGAAGCGCUUGAUUUAAUGUCACGGCAUGAUGCUAAUUACCAUCACUUGAAAUAUACCUCCACGACGUGGCCAUCACCAACUCUUUCCAAAUAAUACUUCACCCGGUGACCAUUGGCUCUAAACACCUCAUCAUUUUUAUUCUUCAAGUCCAAUGCACCAAAAGGUGUCAGUCCCACAACCUCAAACGGGCCACUCCAUUUAGACUUUAACUUUCCGAGAAACAUCUGUAACCGUGAAUUGAACAAUAACACAAGAUCACCCUCUUUAAGCUCUUUGUUCCAAAUGUACUUGUCAUGAAGAUAUUUCAUCUUCUCUUUGUAUAAGGACGAACUUGUAUAUCCAUGGUACCGGAACUCAUCCAACUCAUUCAAAUGUGCCACCCUUAAGUUGGUGGCGACAUCCCACUCAAGAUUCAACUUCUUUAAAGCCCACAUGGCUUUGUGCUCAAGUUCCAUCGAAAGAUGACAAGCUUUUCCGAACACCAACCGGUAUGGAGACAUUCCUAUAGGUGUUUUAUAAGCCGUCCUAUAAGCCCAUAAAGAAUCAUCAAGUUUCUUGGACCAAUUCGUCCUGUUAGCAUUCAUAGUUUUGGACAAAAUACUCUGUAUCUCCCGGUUAGAGACUUCCACUUGACCACUUGCUUGUGGAUGAUAGGGAGUCAUGACUUUAUAAGUGACACCAAACUUGGUGAGUAAGGUGUCGAAAGCUUUGUUGCAAGAAUGCCCCCCCCCCCACCCCUCUAUGAUAGCCAGCGGAGUACCAAACUUUGUGAAAAUAUUCUUCUUCAAAAAUUCCACCACACUUCUUGCUUCAUUGUUGGGUAAAGCAACGGCCUCAACCCAUUUGGACACAUAAUCAACCGCGACCAAGAAGUAGGUAUUUCCACAAGGACCCAUGGAGUCAGUAGCCCACCUAUCGAAAAUAUCAAUCUCAAAAAUGGUGGUGAGGGGCAUUUCAUUUUUCUUUGAGACUCCACUGGCCCUUUGACAUUCAUCACAACACUUGACUAGAUCACUUGCAUACUUGUAAAGAGUAGGCCAAUAGAAACCGCAACUUAGCACUUUGGCCACUGUUCUUGCUCCACCAUGGUGACCACCUACGGCGAAGAAUGACAAGCCCCAAGAAUUUCAAAUUGUUCCUCCUCUAGUACACAUCUUCUAAUCACUCCAUCCGUAUAAAUCCGGAAUAGGUACGGUUAGUCUUGAAAAGCCCGUUUGAGCUUCUUCCUUUGGUUUGAAGAGAACUCAUCCGAGAUGAUACCACUUACAAGAAAAUUUGCUAGAUCCGUGAACCAUGGCUCCUCUUUCAUUGAAAUAGCCAAGAGUUAUUCAUCUAGGAAGGAGUCAUUGAUUUCAAGGCCAUCAUGUAGUCCCCCUCCUCCUCCAAACGAGAAAAGUGGUCCGCCACUUGGUUUUCACUUCCUUUUCGAUCUUGGAUGUCUAUACCAAACUCUUGCAACAAAAGCACCCAUCUCAUCAAUCGGGCUUUGGAAUCUUUCUUGCUCAUAAGAUAAUGAAGUGUCGCAUGAUCCGUAUGGACAAUGACUUUUGCACUCAUCAAGUACGGGCGGAACUUCUCAAUAGCAAACACAAUGGCAAUGAGCUCUUUCUCCAUAAUGGUGUAUUUGACUUGGGAACUAUGCAUGGUCUUACUAGCAUAGUAGACCGGAUGAAAAAUCUUAUUGAUGCGCUGCCCCAAAAUAGCCACUACCACUACAUCGCUUGCAUUGCACAUGAGCUCAAAAGGAACACUCCAAUUUGGAGCGGUGAUUAUGGGAGUAGUAUUCAACUUGAACUUUAGAAAUUCAAAGUCUCUCAUGCAUUCAUCAAGUGGAACUUAGCAUAUUUCUCCAAAAGCGUGCACAAUGGGUUCACCGCUUUAGAGAAAUCCUUGAUGAAACACUGGUAAAAUCCCACGUGGCCUAAGAAACUCCACACGCCUUUAACCGAAGUUGGAGGUGGAAGUUUAGAAAUCACCUCAAUCUUUGCCUUUUCGACUUCAAUGCCAUUAUUUGAGAUCUUGUGGCCAAGGACAAUGCCUUCCUCGACCAUGAAAUGCCAUUUCUCCCAAUUGAGCCCCAGGUUUGUUUUUUCACAUCUUGGCAACACUUUAUCCAACUUUGCGAGACAAUCAUCAAAAGAAUUCCCGACCACUGAGAAGUCAUCCAUGAAGACUUCAAGGUAAUCCUCCACCAUGUCCAUGAAGAUUGCCAUCAUACACCUUUGAAAAGUCGUCGGUACAUUGCACAACCUAAAUGGCAUCCGCUUGAAGGCAAAAGUACCAUAAGGACAUGUAAAGGUAGUCUUCUAUUGAUCCUCCGGAGCAAUACGAAUUUGGUUGUAGCCGGAAUACCCAUCAAGGAAACAAUUUGAAGCACGUCCGGCCAAUCUAUCAAGCAUUUGAUCUAAGGAAGGGAAGUGGAAAAUGGUCCUUCUUUGUGACUUUGUUGAGCUUACGAUUGUCCAUACACAAUCUUCACCCGGUCACCGUUCUUGUUGGAAUCAAAUCAUUCUUAUCAUUGGUGACCACCAUCAUACCCCUUUUUCUUUGGGACACAUUGAACCGGAAAAGUCCACGAACUAUCGAAAAUGGGGUAGACAAUCCUGGCAUCCAACCACUUGAUAAUCUCCUUUUUGACAACCUCUUGCAUGGCUUUAUUGAGUUUCCUUUGAUGUUCAAUAGAUGGUUUUCCACAUUCCUACAAGUUAAUCUUGUGCAUGAAAAAUACAGGGUUUAUCCCUCGUAUAUCCUCCAAUGUCCAUCCAAUAGCCUUCUUCCUCUUUUGUCACCGCCAGUGUAAAGUCUACCUGCACGUUAGUCAAACAAGUGGAAAGAAUAACUGAUAAAGUAGAAGAAGGGCCAAGAAAUUCAUACCGAAUAUGUGGAGUCAAUGGCUUCAACUCCAAGAUAGGAGUCUCUUCAAUUGAAGGUUUUCUAGGAGGAGUUGUCCUAUUUUCAAGAUCCAAGGACAAUUUGCGGGGUUCAUAAGUGUACAACCACAUUCCUUGCAAAGAGUUCACACAUUCCAUGAAUCCAUCCAUCUCAUCAUCAUCAAAGUUGAGCAAGAUGGCCUCCAAUGUAUCAUUAACAUUCAUCACAACACUUGUUUCAUCUACAAUCACAUCGGUCAUCAAGUCCAUGAAAGAACACACCUCUUUGCUAUUGGGUUGCCUCAUGGACUUACACACAUGGAAAAUCACGUUUUCAUCACUAAGCCGGAAGGUAAGUUCUCUGGCUUCAACAUCAAGUAGAGCCUUCCUCGUAGCAAGGAAAGGUCUGGCACCUCAUAAUCAACCUCACUAUCAAGAAUGACAAAAUCCGCCAGAAGAAUGAAUUUAUCAACACGAACCAAUACAUCUUCAAUCACUCCUAAUGGUCUCUUCAUGGUACGAUCGGUCAUUUUUAAUCUUAUAGAUGUGGGUCUUGGUUUCCCAAUUCUCAAAGUCUUGAAAACUAACUAGGGCAUCAAAUUGAUACUUGCCCCAAGAACACAAAGAGCUUUUGCAAACUCAGCACUUCCAAUUGUAUAAGGAAUCGUGAAAGCGCCAGGAUCCUCCAACUUGAGAACCAUUGAAUGCACAAUUGCACUCACUUGAUGAGUCAAUUUUAUAGUUUCAAAAUUCAUCAACCGCUUCUUUGUCACUAAAUCCUUCAUAAACUUUGCAUAACUGGGCAUUUGCUCCAAGGCUUCAACCAAUGACACAUUGAUUGAUAGACUCUUCAUCAUGUCAAUGAACCUUUUGAAUUGAUUCUCGCCAUUUUUCUUGGCAAGACAUUGAGGAUAUGGAGGAGGAGGCCUAGGCAUUGGUUCCUUAUCCUUUUACACUACUGGUUCCGGUAUGUCAACAAUGUGAUCCCUAGACGGGUUCACUUCCUCUUAAGCUUCUUCCACAUUGUUAUCAAUAUCAAUCCGCACUUCAUCAUUUUCUUGCACCACAUGGUUCGGGGUCUCAUCUUCUUGAACCACUUACUCAUCAUCCAUAAGUUUCCUUUGACUUGAGGUGGGUGAAUCCCCACCUUUUCCACUCCUUGUAGUAAUGUCCAUGGCAUGUCCCGUGUUGUUCCCACCCUUUGGGUUCACCACCAUGUCACUUGGUAGUUCCCUCUUAGGACGAGUGUUUAGAGCGUGAGAGAUUUGCCCUAUUUUAACUUCCAAGUUGCAAAUUGAUGUGUUGUGUGAGGCUAGUUGGGCAUCGGAGUCGGAAUUCUUCUCCAUCCUUUGUUUGAACAUAUUCUCAAAUUGUCCCAUCUCAUUGUUGGAAGAACAAGGACCAUGGGAAGGAUAAGGAGGUGGGUUGCUCGGUUGUUGAUACAUCGGGGGCCUUUGAAAAUCCGACCCCCAAUUGCCUUGAUUAAUGUUCCAUCCCCCUUGGUUGUUGCCUCCCCAAUAUCCUUGGUUGUUGCCACUCCAAUUGCCUUGGUUAUUUCCACCACUCCAAUUUCCUUGAUUGUUGUUAUUAUUCGAAUUCCCUUGUUUGUCGCCACCACUCCAAAUACCUUGGUUGUUAGAAUUGUUAUUACCUUGAUUACCUUGAGGUCGCCAUUGUUGUUGAUUCAGGCCUUGAGAGUUGUUUCUUUGCCCUUGAAAGUUGUUCACGUAUUGCACUUCCUCCUCUUAUUUAUUGUAAGAUUCAUCUUGAUCAAACCUACUAUCUUCUUGCACAUAAUUCUCCACACGGUUUUGCACUUGUGGACCCUUGGGCCUUCUUUUGUUCACCAUCAUACUAACUCCGUCCAUGCCAUUAACUUGCUUAAGACUUUGCACUGGUUGAAGUUGAGCCUUGGCUAAUUGAUUCAUUAUGGUGGUCAACUCGGCAAUGGCUUGCCCAUGAUCAUGCAAUUCUUUAUGUAGCGUUCGGAUCACCUUGAGGAACAUUUGCCCUACUUUGCCAUGCCUAUAAAGUGUCCGCCAUUUCAUUAAAAUCUUAUAAGCUUGCACAUACGGCGUUGUCAUGAAAUUUCCACCAGCAAGUUGAUUGACCAUGCACUGAUUGGUAGUAUUGAUCCCCCGAUAGAAGGUUUGUUGAAUCAUAGCCUCUGUCAUGUCAUUACUGGGGAACUCUUUGACCAUAGUUUGGUACAUAUCUCAUAUUUCAUGCAACGGCUCAUUGAGCUCUUGUUUGAAUGCUAGAAUCUCAUCUCUAAGAGUAGUCAUAUGUCGGGGAGAAAAUAACUUGGAAAUAAAAUUCUCAGCCAACUCAUCCCAUGUAUGGAUGGAAUGGUUUGGUAAUCUCUCUAACCAAUCCAAGUCUUUCCCCCGUAGAGAGAAAAGAAAUAUCCUCAAUCUUAAAGCAUCAUCGGAGAUGUUUGUCUGUUUACUCCCCCAAUAAAUGUCCAAAAACCUCUUCAAGUGUUUGUAUGCAUUUUGACUAGGAGCCCCGUGAAGAAUCCCCGCUGCUCUUGCAAUGUAAGCAUUACAUUCGUGAUUUGAAAGUUGACUACCCUAAUAUGAGGCGGGACUAUGGCACUUGCAUACCCUUCAUUCGGCAACACCCAGUGUGGAGCCGCUUUUGGUGGAGGUGGGUGUAGAACUAGGACGUUGUCUUGAGGCGGUCGGCCUCUUCUAUUUGCUUGAGGUUCAAGAGAAACCUCUUACACUUGGUCAUCUUCAGCGUCCACAUCCCCCAAAGGCAUGUUUCUGAGUUGAUCAUUAUUGAGGGCCAUUGUUACACCUACAAUUAAUUCACAAAAAUCAGUAACAAGGAAGGAAAAGAAGACAAUUCACACAUAAAACUAAAUAUAUAGCUAAAUUCGUUUUAGCUCCUCGGCAACGACGCCAAAAAUUGAUCUCGUCCAAGUCACACCUCUAUUUAAGUUUAUGAAAUGGUCGAUGCAAUAGUAAUACCCAAUUAGGAAUCGAGGUCGAUUUUCCACAGGGAGCUAUGAAUGGGACUUAGGGGUAUAUAUUAUAGUGUGUGAGAUUGAGUUAUCUCAAAUUGCACUUCCACAAUCUUGGGUUGUUUCUAGGUCUAAUUUAAUCUAAGAUUACAAACUAAGAAUUGAAAUUAGGAAACUGUUUUUGUUGUUAUUUUUCAAAUGAUAUAAAAGGCCUAGGGCUAUGACCUUCACCUGGGUUUUUGCCUAAUAAGUUGUAAACUUUAAUGCUUGUUUUAUUGGUCGGGAUGUAUUAUAGCUAUCAACACUCAAGUACCCACUCAAUACCUCUCGGUCAAAGAGUAAUUUUUCCCAAUUUGACUUUCCCAAUUUCAAAUUGGUAUUGAACAAAACGGCUGAUACAAAGCUCAAGUCGGGUUUUACUAUCUCUAGGUUCAACCCUUUAAUUAGGCUUAUCAAUCUCUCGAUUGACCUAAUAUCUUGUUAGCCAAGUUUUUCUGGACUAAGUUUCUUUUUCUCAAGUAGAGACUAAGUCAAAUAGGCAUGAACUAAUGUUUGUAACCAUUAAUUCUACAAUUAAAAGCAAGAACAUGGCUAAAUAAUAAACUCUCAACCAUAAACAAACAAUAAAUCAAAUACCCAUUAAGAUUACACUCUAGGGUUGGGUGACAAUCCUAGUAAAAAUCUAGCUACUCAUGCUUAAUAUAGAAGAAAUAGAAGAAGAAAGGAUAAUUAAACCCAUGAUAAUUAAAAUGAUGAAAUCUAUGUUCAAAAAGCUCAAAAUAGCAAAAACUACUAAAGAGAGUAAAGAAAAUUGUCUACUGUAGCAGCUGAUGUCCAAAACUUGACCUAAAAAAGUGAAACUCUUCUAUUUAUACAAGGCUGAAAUUUUCAGACAAAAAUGCCCUUUCGGAGGUUCUGCGACCGCACAAUUCCAUGUACGGUCCUCACUUUGCUUCAGCCUAACAGGAUUGGAAACAUGCGGCCGCAUCAUUCUGAACUGCGGCUGCAUACCUUUUUUUCUGUGAUCUACACAAAUGUGUCUGUGGCUGCUUCUUGCUCUUCUACGGUCCGCACAAAUGAGAUAGUAGCCACGUAGUUGUUCUUCUGCAGCCGCACAAUAAUUGUGUGGUCUGCACUUUUGUUGAACUUGAGAUGCAGGUUCUCUAAACUUUUAAUCUUUCCCAAUUUCUGCGGCCGCACUUUUUACACUUCUCUAAUGGGUGUUUCUUCACAUCCUGCAGCCGUAGAUGAUAAUCUGUUGUCCGCACUUCUGAGCUUAUGUGCAUGUUUUUGUCCUUGAGUUCUGAUCACUCCUUCUUGAGUUGGAUUUCAUCUUGGGAGAUCAUCUUCCGAUAUUCUUGCAAUUAAGCACAUUUUAUUAGUUUACGGGAACACAAUUAAACGCUUUUGGGCUAAAAUGAAAGAAAAAAAAUGUUAAUAAGUAGUCAAAAUCCCCACUUAUCAAGACGCGCACUAGAAGCCACAAACUCACAAGGGUCAUAGAAAAACUGGUAGAGGUGUGUGGCCAUAUGCGCCCCUAUACACCAAGAUGCGCGGCUGCGCACGUCUGUCUCCGGGAAUUUUAGUCAGGCCUAUUUUUGUAAAUUGGGAGGCAUCCUUUUAACCUAUAUAAAGCCUAAUAUUGUCCCAAAACAUGGCAUUUCGGAUUUAUGGAGUAACCUUUGGAGAGAAGAAGGCAAGGAAGAUCAUAGACUUUUGAAUACUUCAUCUGAAUCAUUCAAUACGAAAGUUGGUUUGAAUUUGCGGGUUAUAAUAUUUCUUGUCCUCUUAUUACUCUUUGAUGAACAAUUUCUCCACUAUGGAGUAGUCCUUCUUAGGGUUAUUGAUAAAUAUUAUGAAUUGAUUAUUAAUCGGGGGUUUGAUUGCUGUUAGUUUCUCGAAUUUGUCGAACGAGUUCUGAAUUAAUUUACAAAGGUACACGGGGUUUCACUUUAAUCGGAAGAAAAGUGGGCAGCAGUUAUCAUUGUGUUAUCCUGUUUGGGUUAAUUUCAUGACUCUCAUAGGUAAUCGAAUGAGCUUGUAGAGUUAUCAACUGACCAAAUUUAGAGUAAUAGUCGAGAGACGUUCCUCGUAAGAACAUUCAUUCAAUGUAUUCGUGCAUACGUUUCAUAGCACUUGCCAUUAGGUUGUUUAACAGAACUCUUAUUCAUUCGGAAGAAGAAUUUGAAUCCUUAAUAUAGCCUAAUCAUCUGUUGAAAUCGAAAGUGUCAAUAGAAUUUAAGAGUGAACUUAGCAUAGAGUUAUCCCGAAUAUAGUUGAUCACAUAUCUUGUCAAGCCCUUAUUUCUCACAUUGAUAUUCAAUCGUUGCUACUUAGUCACUCAAUUUUCAUUAUUCAUUUACAAUUGAUAAUCUUAGUUUUUAUUCUUAGUUCAUUAAUAAAUCAAAAUCAAAGGUUUAUUUUCCUGAAUAGUGUUAAGCUGAAGAUUCAUUUGAACAUUAUUUAAACCAAUCCCAGUGGAGACGAUUUAAUAACUAUACUAUCUUUGACUAGCUAGCCUAAGUUUUAUACACCGGUUCUGCGCUCGUCAGUAGGGAGACGAAAAGGGAUAGUACAAGAAUAUUGUUCAUAGGUGCAUAACAACAUCAUUUUUUUUACUUAUUAAGAUUUAACAUGUUGGCCGGAGAGUUGUAUUUUAGUAAAACAAGUAAUACAGGAGGAUGAUAUAUCCUUAACCUCAAUAAUACAACAUAACGAUAAAAAGUUAUCCUUCAAAAACUGGGAAGGGGAAUUUUUUGCAUUCCUUACCCAGUCCAAAAUAAAGAUUAGACUAACAAAAAAACUUGUCUUAUUAUACUUAGUUCUGAUGCUAGGCAUUUGGUAUUUGUCUAAUUGAUAUGUCCCUUUGAAACUUUUUAGAAGUUGUUGGAAUGAGAAGUAGUAGGAUCCCUCUGUUGAUGUAGUAUCAAGUUUAGAAAGGGAAUCCGCAACUUGAUUGGCCUCCCUAUAGCAAUGUAUAAUAUUAACAUUAGCAUGAUCCAACAUCUGAGAAGUGUAUUCUAUAGUUAUAAGCUCUCUUCUUCUUCAGCAUAUUAGUCACAAUCAUGGAGUCUAAUUCUUGAGUAAAAUUUAUGUAUCCAUGUUCAAUAAAACAAUUUACUCUAAACAAGCCGCCUGAGCUUCUACAUAGUUGUUGCUACUGCACUGAGUGGGAUAGAGAAGGCCAUAACUAUGUCGCCAUCAUCAUUCCUUAAAAUCCCUCCCAUUCCAGCUAUGUUAUUCGCCUUUAGGAAGCUACCAUUAGUAUUUAGCUUGAAAGUGUCUGUCUCAAGUGUGUUCCAGAGAACUAUUGUGAUCCUUGGGAUAGGAUGUAGCUUCACUAGGUUGUCACAAAGAUUAUUCCAGGGAAGACAGAGCUUGCAGUUCGGAAAGGCUUUAGAUAUAGCUGAUCCAACUAUCCAACAAACGUGUUGGCCCAUUUUGAAUAAGUUUAACUUCUUUUGAUUGUCAUAUUUACAUGAGCAUCUUUCUUUUCAAAUAGUCCAGUAGAUGAUAGUUGGAGUGAUUUGUAGCACAAGUUUAAGUACAUCAUUCAAGGCAUUUACCUGCCACCAGUUAUUAAUGGUAAAUCUAACAGACCUCUGCUGAUGCGUUAUGCCCAAUAGGGAACCUAUUAGUUUCCAAAUAUAACUAGCUGGCUCUCCUUCCAUGAAAACAUGUUGAAAAGUUUCACUUUUGGGAGAUAAGUAGCAGUUACAUCUAGAAAACAAAGUUGACAAUAACAUCAUCAAAAUGUAGUUUUUUGUUCUACAAUCUCCAAGUAAGAAAAGAAAUUUUAAAAGGAAUAGAGGAGUGUCAUACCAUGCUUAAGAUUAGCUCUUUAGGUUUUCUAGUUCUGAUCAUUUCAAGUGUAGUUUUGUUGGAGUAGUUUUAUUCCUCUAACAAGUUCCAAAAAACUUUGUCUGGAAUUGUCCUCUUCCCAAUAAGAAUUCCAAUAAUAUGAUGAACCAAAGAUUCUGGAAGAAUGCUCUUUAGUUUGUGAAUAUUCCACUCCCCAUUUUGUAUGAAAUUCUUCACUAGAAUCUUGGGGCUUUUGUUAGUCAUGGGGACUAGAGCUGCUAGGGGACUUUUAUUAGUCCAGUUAUCCCACCAGAAGCAAUAAUAACCUCAAUUAAUAUGUCGUAGCAUGAGAUUUUUAGCAUUCUUUCUAACCUUGGUCAUAUGUUUCCAGGAAUGUGAGCUCCUAGAAGCCACUUGUUUAGCAAUCGAUGAGCUCUAAUGCAAUACUUAUGUUUGAUGAAGUUGGCCCAUAGAGAAGAAAUGGCUCUAAAUCUCCACCAUCUUUUGGUGGCUAAUACUUCACUGAUAUCUUUCAUUUUUCUUAUGCCUAUUCCUCCUUCAUCUAUAGGAAAUUAAAGAUUUUUUCAAGACCUCCAGUGGUACAUCCUUUGAUCCUUACUACUAUCCUAGAAAAAAUUAGCAAGAUAUUUUUCAAUAAGAUGAAAGGUAGAUUUAGGAGGGACAUAUAGGAGAGAGUGUAUAUAGGCAGAGAUUGUAGAACAUUCUUGAUUAACACCAUUCUACCUCAAGGAGAAAGCAUGUUACCUUACCAACCAUUGAGUCUUUUUAUUACCUUGUGAACCAUAUUAUCAAAGUAAGCAAUUUUAUUUCUACCAACAUAUAGAGGGCAUCCAAGCUAAGUAAUAGGGAAGACCUUGUCAAGAAAGCCUGUGCAUUGUCUCGUUCCAUUGAUCCUGGAGGCACAGGUCUUAGGGGCUAUUAAGAAGAAGCUCUUAUCCCUAUUGACAAGCUGACCAUAGCACUCCUCAUAAUCUUUUAUUACCUUGAUAAUCAUAUUAAUUGAUAUACUACUUCCAAUUCUAAAGAUAACAACACCAUCAAUAUAAGCUAGAUGACUAAUAAUAGGACAUCUAGAAGGCAUGAAGAAAGGCAUCAAGUUGUUCUUCUAGUUAAGAUUAUUCAGGGAUCUAGAUAAAGGUUCAGCAGCAAGAAUAAGAAGGGAAGGGGAAAUAGGACCCCCCCCCCUUGCUUUAAGCCUUGAAAAGAAGUGAAGAAGCCAUUUCUAGAGCCAUUAAUAAUUAUAGAGUACCAAACCCCAAAAAUAAGGUUUUGGACUAACUCUAUCCAUAGUUCAGAGAAGCCAUAUCUCCUAAGAACUGAUGUGACAAAUAAUCAAGACAUUCUAUUAUACGUUUUCGCCAUAUUCAGCUUAAUAACAAUGUUACCGCCUCGAUUAUUCUAUGAAAUACUUUGAAUGAUUUCCUGACCAAGAAGAACAUUCUCUAUGAUCAGCCUAUCCUCUACAAAACCAGUUUAAUUGUUGGAGAUAAGCUUAGUCAAAAGGGGUUUAAGUUUAAGAGAGAGGACUUUGGAGAUUAUCUUGUUGGUUAAUUUAGAGAGGCUAAAUGGUCUAAAUUCAAAAAAAUGUGGUAGGGGAAUCGACUUUAGGAAUCAAGACAAGAAAAAAGUGAGAAUAUAACUUGGUGUGCUUCUUUCCAAUAAAAAUUUUUCUAAUAAAGGCAAUAAUAUCAUACUUGAUAAUAUCCCAAAAAUGUUGAAAGAAAGUACCAUUGUAACCAUCUUGGCCAGCAGUGCUAUCAGAACUUAAGAUAAAGACCGCUUCUUUGAUCUCUUCUUUACUAGAAAUUGCAGUCAGAUUGAUGUUGUCUUCUUCAGAAAUAUAAUUAGAGAUGUAGUUAAGGAGACCGUGGUUGAGAGUAGGCAUUGGAAGAUUGAAGAAAGACAAAAAAUGAUGCACAACAGCCUUGGCAAUGUUCUUCCCUUUCUUAAUCUAUUUCCCUCUAUGGUACUUAAUCAUGUUCAACUGUUGUUUACUUCUCCUUUCCCUGAGAAGACUAUGGAAGUACCUGGUAUUGCUCUUCGUCAAACCAUCUAGUCUAAGUUUUCUGUUUAAGGAGAGAUUCAUGCAUACUCAACCAUUUAAUAUAUUUUGCCUGUGCUUUAUUCGAUUCUUCCCUGCUAUUAUCAAAGAUGGUUGCAGCAUCCAUAUCCUCAAAUAUUUGAACUUUUUCCUCCCAUUUUAUAACUAGAUCAUUGAUGUCCCCAAUCUGUUCUCCAGAUCACUGGCUCAAUUUCCUGCUAAGAAGCUUCAAAUUAGAUUGUAAGACCCACAUGCGAUUUGUCAAUUAUAUUGGACUAGCAGACUUCUUUAACGAUGUGUAGGAGGCCCUCUUCAUUAGCCUAGAAAUGAAGAAACUUGAAGUAACUGAUGUGACAUUGGUUAGUGUUAAAGCACUUCAUGAGUAAAGGCCUAUGAUCAGAUUAGUUCUCGCCAAUACGAUCAUACCACAAGUUUUGAUACCCUCCAAUGUGAACCCCCGUUUCUAGCCAAAUAUACAUCCUGAAGAUCUCCAAUUACUAUAUGUAAAUCUUGAAUCCUUCAAAACCAUUCUCGGGAGUCAUCCACUCUACUCAGGUUUCAAUUAGUCUGAUCAAAUGAACCGAACGACAUGUGCCCCAUUAGAACAGCAAUACCUAUGGAAAUAACCCAUCCUUCUAAGCAGCCGAGUGCUAUCCUACUCUAUACCUGUUACAUUCCUUACUACAACAACUAAUCCAUCCAACGUUUCUCAUAUACUCAUAAAGAAUAACACAACCCUUAUCCAAAAAAUUUCUUUACUCAAGUCAUCCUCGAUCUCAACCUCUGUAAGCCACAAUUGAUUCGUCGGCAUAACACAAAUUGAAACUAAUACGACAAUUAGCCGUGCAAUAAACUUAUCAAUAGCAAACUCCCCCACUUGGCUCAAAGCCAUAAGUCAAAAUACAUAAAAACUCGCAAUGCCCAUACUCUAUUACCGCCAUAAUACUAUAGGGGAAUAAAACUAAAUCCUCCAUAAGCUCGUGCAACACAAUCAUCUAGUACUUCAAAUCAUCUGCAAUCUCGCAUUCACCUUCGUAACAGUCAUGCCCACUCUCAUAAGUGAUACAAACUCAAAUUGCAACACACAUAUUCCACUAGUAAAAGAGGGCUCCCAACAAACAACAUAGGGAUCACACAAACCUCAGAACACCCCGCAGGAGAUAACUCACCUGUUUUGCCUCAAACUAACAUCUCUUCAUACCUUUCCACCAUCAUAAACAUCAUGCAAUCACUUAAUCUUCCUAAGUCUGAACUCAUAUCACAACAUAAAAUCUACUUCACUCCUCAACUAGACAACAUGAAAAGAUCCUUCAACACACCAACAACUCGAGGCUAUAUAUCAAAUCACGAUGGAAAUCAAACACCAGAUAGUUCUUUCUACCCUCAAGCAGACCCUUCUCGACACAUUUAAAUCGUAUGAACACAUCUCGCAGUCACAACAUACUCAUCACGUAGCCAUCUAAUCAUCACUUCCACUAAUAGGGAUACUAUUAAACAUAUAAAUCCAAAAGCACGUGCUCACACAACCAACACCUCAGUGCUCAGCUACAGGAAAAGCCCGGCCUCAAGUCCUCCAGACUGGCCCAACAUCAACACAUAGAAAUCACAUCUCGCCCCUCGUUCAUGGAAGCACAAGUCGUCGAUGCACAGCUGACCAAACGCACAUAUGCGCACACGAAUGUGUGGAAGAAUUCAAAGAGUUACAUUUCAAGCUGAAUCAACGUCGCACGAUUAGAAUUCAAGAAUGUGGGAUUUCCUAAAGGUUCUGCAGCCUCUCGAAGAUAAGUACAGACGUCUCCGUACCGAUCCGCAAGACUCUACUAAACCUGCUCAUGACUCGUGAGACCUAUGUAACCUAGGCUCUGAUACCAACUUGUCACGACCAAAAACUCAUCACGUCGUGAUGGCGCCUAUCGUGGAACUAGGCUAGUCUCAACUCAACGCAACCCAAAACCACAAUACUAAAACCAAAUCAUUUGCAAAAAAACUUUUAUCAUUUAAAAUAAAUUGAUUAAGACAUAAAAUAAAGAUUCAUAUUACAAUACAACCAUCCCAAAACUAGGGUGUCAUGGAGUACAUGAGCGUCUAAGGUGAAUACAUAAUCUAUUAAAGUGUCUAAAGAGGCAAUUGUAAUACAAUUGGAAAAUGAGAAGGAGAGCCAAAGCCUGCGAACGCCAUGUAGAUACCUCAACAAACUCCACAGCCUGCAACCUCAAUCAACGACUGCCACUGGGUCCAAAAGUACCUGGAUCUGCACACAAGGUGUAGGGGGUAACGUGAGUACACCAUCUCAGUAAGUAACAAGUCCAACCUUUGGACUGAUAGGUAGUGACGAACUCACCCUCAUCAAAGAUAAUAGAAAUAACGUAUAGAAACAUAGGCAUGCUUUCAGUUAAAUAAACAGCUCGAAUAGUAAAACAAAGCAAGUAUGAACAGAGUAAAAAAGUGUAACUCUACUACAUCUACAUAGCGAUACACAUGCUAUAUGAAAUGCACCAUGCUGAGUGACUCAUGUGCCCACAAUCUCAAUUACUCGUCCACUCAGUGUUGUAUAUGGCUCAUACGGCCCAGGGAAGAUCCAUCCCGGAAUAUAUACAUCUCUGACAGCAGUCACUCAGUACUGAGGAAGGCCAGCCUAUGGAAAAGAUCCAUCUCCAAAUAAUAAUAAACAACCUCACAACCACUCGUUACUGUAUAUAGCUCACAAGGACCAGGGAAGAUCCAUCUCGGCAUAUAUACAUCUCACAGACCAAUAGUCUCCAGUACCAAGGAACAACCCAAUCCAUCCUCAUAGAGAAGAUCCAUCUCCAUACCAAGGGAAGAUCCAUCCCUGACUAUAAUCAAUUGCGCUCACUGGUGGUGUAUAGACUCCGGAGGGGCUCCUUUCGGCCCAAGCGGUAUAACAAGCCAACGAAGGCAUAAUUAAUAAUCUGCUGCGAUGUGCAGCCCGAUCCCAUAACUAUCACUCAUAAUCAAGUUCUCUGCCUCACUCAGUCAUCACUCUCUAAUCUCACACACACGGCUCACUAUACCAUGAAACUAGCCGAAACAAUGAUAUGAUGUGCCAAAUAACAACAGAGACUGAGAUAUGAUAUGAUAUACAUGAACAAUACAGAGUACAGAAUAUCAAUGAAACAAAUGAGAUGACAAUAAGAAAUGACCACUCGGGUCUCAACAUCAUUGGCAUGAAGCCCUAACAUGAUAAUUAGCAUGAUUUACAGUUCAUUUCCUUAAUCAUAUAAUCACAACACAGAUAUCAAUAAGAAAGAGUCACUAAGUGGUAUCGUGGAAUGAUAUAUGCCACAAUUCUUACGAUGCACGCCCACUCACCCAUCACUUGGCACUUGCGUCACCUUAAUACAAAUCAUAUAGCACAAUGUUCGGGGUUUCAAACUCUCAGAACCAAGUUUGGAAGCGUUACUUACCUCAAACCAAGCCAAAACUAUAACUUGCGAUGCCCUUGCCUCUCGAUUUGGCCUCCAAAUGCUCCGAAUUUAACGAAAAUUAGUAUAUUACCAUCAAUAUACGCUAAAGGAAUAAAACCCAUAUGAAAAUUAUCAAAUUAGAUAAAAAAAAGAAAUCCCAAAUUUGCUAAAACCCGACCCCCGGGCCAACGUCUCGGAAUCCGAAAAAAUCACAAAACUAGAAAGCUCAUUCAUUCACGGGUUUACCCACAUCAAAUUCAUCAAAAUCCGACAUCAAACGACCAUUCAAAUCCCCAAAAUCAACUCUCCAAAUUUUCUUCCAUUUUCCCCAAUUUUCACCCCAAAUUCCCAAUUUAGAGGAUAAAGAUUAAUACACAAUCAUGGAAUUUAACUAAAUUUGAGUAAACAACACUUAUCCCAAUCACUUCUAUGAAAAUUCCCUCCAAAAUCCCUUCUCCCGAGCUCUCUAUUGAAUUUUGGAAUUAUGAACCCAAACCCUCAUUUUUGAACUUAAACAUUCUGCCCAGACAUUUCCUUAAUCGCGAUCGCGGAAACACCCUUGUGAUCGCGAAGAACAACUUCGCUAGCUCCUGGCUUAACCCUAUGCGAAUGCGUUAAUCUCCAUGUGAAUGCAAUAUUCUGUCACUCUCUUAUACGCGAUCACGGGCCAAUGAUCUCACUCGCGAUGAACAAAUGACUGGCCCCAGCUUUGUCCCACUUAACCUUACAUGAACGCGACUCUUCCCACUAGAACGCGAUGCACCACAUGAUCAACCUACGUGAUCACAUCUCUAACUCCGCGAACAUGAUGAACAACUUGAUUGGUCUCCAAAAAUACUCUAUGCGAUCGCGAGCCUCCUCACGCGAUCGCGACGAAAGACCUUCUACAACAGAAAUACCAGCAAAAUCUGCCAAUCUUUCAAGUCCAAAAAUGCCCGGUUGGCCAUUCGAAACACACUCGAGGCCCUCGGGACCUUACCCAAACAUGCCAACUCAUCCUAUAACAUCAUUCAAACUUAGUCGAGCCUUCGAAUCACUCAAAGCAACGCCAAAAUACCAAAUCCACCUCGGAUUCAAGCCUAAGAACUUGUAAACUUUCAAAUUCCACAAACAAUGCCGAAACCUAUCAAAUCACCUCCGAAUGACCUGAAAUUUUGCACAUAUAUUACAAAUGACACUACGGACCUACUCCAAUUUUCAGAAUUCCAUUCCAACCCCGAUAUCAAAAUUCCCACUACAGACUGAGAAACGCCAAAUUUCCAAUUUCAUUGAUUCAAGCCUAACUCUACCACAGACCUCCAAAUCACAUUCCGUAUGAGCCCUCAAGUACAAAAUAACCUAAUGGAGCUAACCAAAUCAUAAAAAUCCAAAUCCGAGAUUGAAUACUAAAAAGUCGAAACUUGGCCAAACCUUUUAAAUUUAAAGCUUCAAGCUAAAAAUCAUUCUUCCAUAUCUAUUCUGAUUAACCUAAAAACCAAAACCGACGAUUUACAUAAGACAUAAUAUAUCAUACGGGGAUAGUCAUGCCUGAGAACUGGCGAGCAAAGCAUAAAUGCUCAAAACGACCGGUCGGAUCGUUAUAGGAGGCCAUAACUAUAUCGCCAUCAUCAUUCCUUAAAAUCCCUCCCAUUCAAGCCAUGUUAUUCGCCUUUAGGAAUCUACCAUUAGUAUUUAGCUUGAAAGUUCCUAUUCCAAGUUUGUUCCAAAGAACUAUUGUGAUCCUUGGGAUAGGAUGUAGCUUCAUUAGGUUGUCACAAAGAUUAUUCCAUGGGAGAGAGAGCUUGCAGAUCGGAAAGGCUUUGAAUAUAGCUGAUCCAACUAUCCAACAAACUUGUUGGCCCAUUUUGAUUAAGUUUAACUUCUUUUGAUUGUCAUAUUUACAUGAGCAUCUUUCUUUCCAAAUAGUCCAGCAGAUGAUAGUUGGACUGAUUUGUAGCACAAGUUUAAGUACAUCAUUCAAGGCAUUUACUUGCCACCAGCUAUUAAUGGUAAAUCUAACUAACCUCUGCUGAUGCGUUAUGCCCAAUAGGGAACCUAUUAGUUUCCAAAUAUAGCUAGUUGCCUCUCCUUCUUUCACCUUUGGGAGUAGUUUAUAUCCUCUGACAAGUUCCAAAAAAUUUGUCUAGAAUUGUCCUCUUCUCAAUAUGAAUUCCAAUAAUAUGAUGAACCAAAGAUUCUGGUAGUAUGCUCUUUAGUUUGUGAAUAUUCCACUCCCCAUUUUGUAUGUAAUUAUUCACUAGAAUCUUAGGGCUUUUGUUAGUCAUGGGGACUAGAGCUGCUAGGGGACCUUUAUUAGCCCAGUUAUCCUACCAGAAGCUACAAUCACCUCAAUUAACAUGUCGUAGCAUCUGAUUUUCAGCAUUCUUUCUAACCUUGGUCAUAUGUUUCCAGGAAUGUGAGCUCCUAGAAGCCCAUUGUUUAGCAAUCGAGUGAGCUCUAAUGCAAUACUUGUGUUUGAUGAAGUUGGCUCAUAGAGAAGAAAUGGCUCUAAAUCUCCACCAUCUUUUGGUGGCUAAUACUUCACUGAUAUCUUUCAUUCUUAUGCCUAUUCCUCCUUCAUCUGUAGGAAAUUAAAGAUUUUUCCAAGACCUCCAGUGGUACUUCCUUUGAUCCCUACUACUAUCCUAGAAAAAAUUGGCAAAAUAUUUUUCAAUAAGAUGAAAGGUAGAUUUAGGAGGGACAUAAAAGAGAGAGUGUAUGUAGGCAGAGAUUGUAGAACAUUCUUGAUUAACACCAUUCUGCCUCCAGGAGAAAACAUAUUAUCCUACCAACCAUUGAGUCUUUUUAUUACCUUGUGAACCAUAUUAUCAAAGUAAGAAAUUUUCUUUCAACCAUAAGCAAUUUUCUUUCAACCAACAUAUAGAGAGCAUCCAAGGUAAGUAAUAGGGAAGACCUUGUCAAGAAAGCCUGUGCAUUGUCUCGUCCCAUUGAUCCUGGAGGCACAGGUCUUAGGGGCUAUUAAGAAGAAGCUCUUAUCCCUAUUGACAAGCUGACCAUAGCACUCCUCAUAAUCCCUUAUCACCUUCAUAAUCAUAUUAAUUGAAAUGCUACUUCCACUGCUAAAGAUAACAACACCAUCAACAUAAGCUAGAUGAUUAAUAAUAGGACCUUUAAAGGCAUGAAGAAAGGAAUCAAGUUGUUGUUCCGGUUGAGAUUAUUCAGGGAUCUAGAUAAAAUUUCAACAGCAAGAAUAAGAAAGGAAGGGAAAAGAGGAGCCCCUUGUUUUAAGCUUUGAGAAGAAGUGAAGAAGCCAUUUCUAGAGCCAUUAAUAAUUAUAGAGUACCAAACACCAAAAAUAAGGUUUUGGGCUAACUCUAUCCAUAGUUCGGAGAAGCCAUAUCUCCUAAGAACUGAUGUGAUAAAUAAUAAAGAUAUUCUAUCAUACGCUUUGGCCAUGUUCAGCUUAAUAACAAUGUAACCGCCUCGAUUAUUCUGGGAAAUACUUUGAAAGAUUUCCUGAUCAAGAAGAAUAUUCUCUGUAAUCAACCUAUCCUCCACAAAAUCAGUUUUAUUGUUGGAGAUAAGCUUAGUCAUAAGGGGUUUAAGUUUAAGAGAGAUGACUUUGGAAAUUAUCUUGUUGGUUAAUUUAGAGGGGCUAAUAGGUCUAAAUUCAAAAAAAAGUGGUAGAGGCAUCAACUUUAGGAAUCAAGACAAGACAAAAGUGAGAAUAGAACUUGGUGAGCUUCUUUUCAAUGAAAAAAUUCUCUAACAAAGGCAAUAUCAUACUUGAUAAUAUCCCAACAAUGUUGAAAGAAAGUACCAUUGUAUCCGUUUGGGCCAGCAGUGCUAUCAGAACUUAAGUUAAAGACUGCUCUUUUGAUCUCUUCUUCACUACGAAUUGCAGUCAGAUUGAUGUUGUCUUCUUUAGAAAUUUAAUUAUAGAUGUAGUUAAGGAUACCGGGGUUGAGAGUUGGCUUUGGAAUAUUGAAGAAAGACUCAAAAUGAUGCACAAUAGCCUUGCCAAUGUUCUUGUCUUUCUUAAUCUAUUUUCCCCUAUGGUACUUAAUCAUGUUCAACUGUUGUUUCCUUCCCCUUUCCCUGAGAAGACUAUGGAAGUACCUGGUAUUUCUCUUCGUCAAACCAUUUAUUCUGAAUUUUUUAUUUAAGGAGAGAUUCAUCCAUACUCAACCAUUUAAUAUAUUUUCCCUGCUAUUAUCAAAGAUGGUAGCAGCAUCCAUAUCCUCAAAUAUUUGAAAUUUGUCCUCCCAUUUUAUAACCAGAUCAUUGAUGUCCCCAAUCUGUUCUCUAGACCACAGGCUCAAUUUCCUGCUAAGAAGCUUCAAUUUAGAUUGUAAGAUCCACAUAUGAUUUGUCAAUUAUAUUGGACUACCAGACUUCUUUAACGAUGUUUAGGAGGCCCUCUUCAUUAGCCCAGAAAUUAAAAAACUUAAAGUAACUGAUGUGGCUUUGGUUAGUGUUAAAGCACUUCAUGAGUAAAAACCUAUUAUCAGAGUUAGUUCUCGUCAAGUGUCUCACAAUAGUGAUCUGGAACUUCUGAGCCCACAUGUCAUUAAUAAAUUUCCUGUCAAAUAUUUUCUAAAUUCUCUUGCUAGGCCUUCUAUUAUUACACCUUGUAAACCAAAAACUAGAAAAACCAACAUCAGUCACCCCACAAUUGUCCAUACAAUUAAUAAAAUCCAAGCGUCUAUGAACCCUAUGAGGCCUUCCUCCUAGCUUUUCAUCUAGAUCGAUAAUGAUACUAAAGUCUCCUCCAAUACAUGAAGGACUAUCAAUGCUAAGAUUGUCUUGUUCAAGGUUGUCCCAAAGUCCUUUUCUUUUAGUUGAAGUGCAUUUUGCAUAAACUGUUGAAAUAUAAGAACUAUGGUUGUUAAUACCAUCUUUAAACUUCAUGGUAAUAUGUUUCUCAUCCUCAGCUAUCAAUACAGAGUGACAGUUGAUGUUAUAGAAGCACCAAAUUUGACCAUUGCAGUUGGAGAUACAAUGUUGAAAUCCAAGAAACUUCUUUUAACCAUCAAGCUUUUAGUUAUUCACAAAAGGCUCAAAGAUGGCCACAAAUUAUAUCUUGUUUAUGUUGAUCAAGUGUUUAAGCCUAUGAAUAAAUUUCUUUGAUCUCACCACUCUAAUGUUCCAAAAAAUUAUACUAAUCAUUAGAAUUUGUUGGGGGUAGAUCCUCUUGUUGUUUCCUUUUCUGUAAAGAAGCAUCUUUCUUCAUGUGCCUUUUUUUCCUAGUUUGGGUUCUUACUCUUUCCUCGGUGAUACAUGUUUGAUAUUUGUUAUUCAACUUGUUUUGGAGACUUCUGUUAAUCUCCUGAGUAUUUAAUUUGGUUUCCUUGUGGCAAUUAGAAGUUGUCUAUCUAGGAAGAUCAUUAGUAGCCUCAUCGAUGUUCUCUGUCGGAUGAAUACAUUUGGGAAUAUUCAGUUCAACAACCAAAUUCACUCCCGGUUGAUUAAUAAUAUCUUAUGGUAAAGUGGAUGAACUAGAGCUAUCAUUAACCGUAUUAGAACCCAGAAUUGCUAGCUGAUGUUCUUGAUCAACCCUUGUGUUGGUGUGAAUCUCCCCUUGCUUACCUUUAUCAUGCCUUCUAUCUUCUUUAGAAAUGUUUGGAGCUUCUACCAUAUUUGUAAUAAGAUUAUUAUCCAUAAUAAUUGUUUGUACCCGGUGUUGGUGACUUUAUUUUCCUUGAUCACCCUGACUUUGGAUACUCUCUUUGAUUUCUGAUAGGGAUUGGUCACUUUGAAUAGAAUUAAUGGCUUUUGCUAUCCUUCUUUUGCUAUUUCCUGUAGUUGUAUUGGUUUGAAUAUCACUUUGCUUCUUUUUUGGCAUUUUAUUAACUUUCUUCUCUUUUUUUCUUCCUCCUGCAUAGUCUAUCUGUACGUUCAGCUGAAAAUAUAGUCACAUUGUUAGUGUUAAGUUGUGCUAUCUCUGUUCUUUGUUGGUUCAUAUGAUGCUUCUUCUUAUUAGCUUCAACUUUACCAUUUGUACUCCCCUUUUAUAAUAGAACUGGUUGCCUCAAUUUUUUCCUCAAUAAUAUUUUUUAGAUGAUUUAGCAACUUCUUUAUUGGUAGGCACCUCUCCUUUCUUAACAUUAAUAUUAACAUUCUACUAUGCCACACCCUUAACAACUUCUGUAGCAUUCUGCUUUGCCAUAUCCUUCUUUUGGCCUCUAUUUCCUUCAUUGUUCUCUUCCUGAUUUUUACUACUUCUUUCUUCUAUUUGCAAUAGAAUCAUAUUUUCAGCAUUCAUUUUGCCUUCAUUGACUUCUACAGUUCUUAUUUUCUCAAGAACUCUAUAAUUUAUCAUAUUGUGCCCCAUUCUUUUACAAUGCUUGCAGUACUUAGGAAUAUUUUCUUAUUCAAUUUUUUGCCUAUACCCUCUCAGAGGUGAAUUCUCAUCCUUAAAGCCCACCCAUACACUACUAGGCUAGGGUUUCGUUAGGUCUAUUUUAGUAGCAGCAUCCAAGGCUAAAGGAGUGCCAAUAUUACUAACAAUUUGCCUAACAUAAUGUCAUGUAUGCAUAUUGAAUGAUAUACAUGGAAGAAGUACCCAUGCCGGAACAAUUGGAAUGUCUUCAUCCAGCUUCAAAUCCGGUGACCAUUUUUGUAGCCACAUUUGUAAUCCUUCAAUUUUGAUCAUCCUCCUAUACCAUGCAUAGUUGAAGUCAUCUUCAUUGGUGAAGUCUAUUAAAACAUUGUAGUUGUCAUAGACUCCAAUCUUAGCAGACCUUUAAUUGAAAAAAGCUCUCUAAAACUGGAUCUUAUCCUUUCGAUUUAAGGAUAGGGCUUCAGAAACCUACCAAUAAUAGUUAAUUUGCAUUCUUCAGCCAUGAUUCUGUAAUAGUAUUUAGCUUUAAAAUUCACCAACGGCAUCUUAUUGUGAGUAGUUUGUCGAGCAAUCACUGAUUCUCGAGGGUGUCGAACGGUGGUCGUUGGAGUAACUGUUGCGGUAGAUACUGUGGUGGCAUAAGUUAAUUUCCUGCAAUUGCUUCAGUAGGUGGAGUCGUCAUAUUUGGAGGUUCAUAUUGGCUGUCAGUACGCUCCCUUUGGACACCGUUUGACGGCGCCAUGAGGCGGAGCGUAGGGUUGACGCGUCUAAUAUGUUAUCGUUAAGGGCCAACGCUAGUAAUAUUAUGGAGAGAGUCUUUUGCAAAGUCAGACCUGGUAUUAUACAUAUUGAUGAACGGUGAUGUUUGGUUGAUGGUUUAGUUAUACAAGAAUAAUAAUAAUAUAUCACGACCCAAACCGAUGGGCCGCGACAGGCACCCGGUACCUUACUCAACCGAGUACCUACAUAACGUAUAUUUUGUGUCAUACUAUCAUAGGUAAAUGAUCCAGAGAGGCUGUCGUGAGAUAAGUAAAAAACAUGGGAAAAAUACUCGACAUUGGAUGACCCAACAUGUAAUCCAAACUCAUACAUAUGACGUACGGGCCUAUAAGGCCGCCACGAUUCCUUAUAUACUCAAAACAUAGGUCGACAAGGCCAUAAAAGUAUCUGUAUACAUGACAUCUGUCUACAAGCCGCUAGGAAUACAUAAUAUCAUAAAGUGCGGGAUAGGGCCCCGCCGUACCAAUCAAUACAUGUACUAAUCAUACUGACCAAAUAGGCAACUCCAGAGCAAAUGGAGUGCACCAACACCUUUUGCUGAGCUGAUAGUUUACUUGAAGGGCUCAUAACCUGUCUAUCAGGACCUGCGAGCAUGAAGCGCAGCAUCUCCAGACAAAAGGGAUAUCAGUACAAAUAAUGUACCGAGUAUGUAAAGAAUGAAAAUCACUAAAUAAUAAACAUGAAAGAAAUAUGGAGUAAAAGACUCGACAUGUAAGUCUGAAAAACUUUGUAAAUCAUGAAAUACUUAUAGUGUCAUGCAUAUGCGUAUGAAUCUCAUGUAGUACAUAGGUACAUGUAUUCAUAACAUCAUCAAGUCUCUGAGGG